UUCCUCUCUCCCUAAACCCCAUCUGAAGAAGAAGCAGAAGAAAAAUCUCGCCUCGCGGGUAGCAAUGGCGGCAAUCGGAGGCCAGUCCCUCGCGAUCUCGCUCGUGGCCGUGGUCGCCGCCGCCUUCCUGGCAGUUGGAGCCGUCGCAGCCGACGCACCGGCCCCCAGCCCGACGUCCGCCGCCGGCGCCCUCAUCCCGAAUCUCGCCGUCGCCGUUCUCGCCUCGUCCGUCGUCCUCCUCCUCCUCGGAUCCGUCCGUCACUGAGUGAUCCUGGGCGUAGACUAGUCAUUCCAGGGUGGAAUUGGGUCGUCUUUAGGGUUUCUUUCAAUAAGGGUGGUGGUGAUGGCGAUCGAUGAGUUUUUUUAACGCUUAGUAUGGGGUCUCUAGUGCGUGUGUGUGUAGAUAUGAUAUGCUUUGGCUGCAGAGAUUGAUGUGUUAUUAAUAGUUCUGUUUGUCUUUCUUUAGUUCAUGUUCAUGAUUUGUUGGUGAGAUUUUGUGGUGUGUGAUGGAUGGAUUGAUCUAUGGUUGAUGCAACCGAUGUCUGAGAUUAUUCUGGUGCCAUAAAUCUCCAAGCUUCCACUCUUUGUGAGGCCAGAGUGGAUCGAUGGGUCAAAAACACAACUUUGGGUUCCCAUCUUCCGAUCGAGAAAGCGAGUUCAUCGAUCAGCGUGCUGUGUCAUCGUACCUGUGCGCCGACGAGAGGGACCCGAGAUUUGUGCCUCUUUACCAACAAAGCAUGUGGUGGUGGCCCGAUGCCCUCAGGAGGAGGAUGACGAUCGAGGCAUAGCAUUUGGAAUCGAAGAUGCCGCUUCUUCAGUUACUUGAGCGGCUCAUCUUUGGGCAAAAGGGGAGAAGCAUCCUCGCUGUAAUAAAAAGAGAAUUGUUCUUGUCAUGACUUCUCAGUGACUCUUUACGUAAGUGCGUGAAUCUAUCUAUCUUUAACUCCAACUCCCCAACUUUCUCAUAUUUCCAGGUUGUAAACCAAAAGCAUAUUUUCAUAUUAGAUGUAUUUAUUUAUAUUAGAACAACUGUCAAGUGAGUCCCAACCACAAACCUUUAGGCAAAGGGUCGCAUCGCCGAAGUGCCACACUCACCUAUUCUUUUACUUAAAUAAACCCGAAUGCCAGAGGAAAGAAGGGUCCAUCACAUGAAUCCCUGACAGACACUUCCUCUUCCAUAUAUCUUUCUUAUUACGCUUCUUUGUCUUCCAUGUAGUUUUGUCAUCACACCCAGUUGGAGACAUGGCCUGUUAGAGGUCACCGAAACAGAACUUUCUGGUUCCCGUUGGACGUCGAGGAAGAUGGCUCUGUCCAAACUGCAGAGGAUGGAAGGCACUGACGAUGACACUUCACCAGCCAGGCUUCUUUUUUUAUCUUUGUGACGGGGACCUUUAACGCGUCAAAUUCAUAUUUGGGGAAGGAAUCUAAAUAGAAGCAGAAAGAUGAGGUGCCAAGACUUACUUUGCAUGCUAUAUAUGUGUAUGAACAUAUACUUAAACCAAGUCUUAUUAAACAUGCAAUGGGGUUGAGGGAAUGAAGAUGAUAAAUGUGUUAUUGUAGGCUUGUCGUAUGUGCUUGAUACAGAAAAGAUGAAUGCUUCCAUGACCACUACUUUUGACAGAGAGUAAAUACCUCGAGUGAAUCAUUUACAAAAAAAGGCAUCUCACGAACUCUGGAGUCUCAAUCUGACACAGAUUUCUCCAGCUACUGUCACUCUGGUCACAUUUCGAACCCACGGCCAGGCAUUAGUGACAUGAUUGGGUCAGGAACUAAAGCCUCUGUGGAGAGAAGACCAGCUGUUUGAGGGAAACCUCAGGCAAGCUUGAGCAGAAACCUCGGCCAUGGUUUCCUCCCUGAUGCCUGCAUUGCAGAUGUUUGCUAGGGACCUCAUGUGUUUCAUUCCAUACUGAGAUAAAGACCCACAGUAUGUUUCGAAGGCCCGUACCUACAACAACAAAAAGCAACGACAGCAUUGAAAUCAAAUGAUAAGUUAUGAUCUAGUCUAGAGAAUAUUCAACGAGAUCCAAGUUCUUUUUUAACAUCAACCAAUCGUUGAAACCGGUCUUUCGAGCGCCAAUCCUCGGAUUUCAUCAUCACAUACAUAUUUAGAGGAAGCAUUGACCUAGAAUGCAGUAUCUCACAGUACUCCAAGAAACUGAAUUGCCCUAGUAACAUAUCGAUCGACCAAAGAUUUAGAUAUGGUUUCUGUGAUGAUUCUUAGAAAAGACAAACAUAAGAGAUGGUUAUGAAGAGGCAAUUAAGAUUGAAACCAUGAGAAAAAGCUGGAAUAAUUGGGAUGUGCAAUUAGUCAUAGCAAUUUUCCUAUCACAAUUGCUGUCAGCCAGGAAUAGAGCUGCAACCUCAAAACAAUUUAGAAAUCAACUGUAUAUGUAUCAUGCUAGAGUACAAUUUUACAUGAAGUGACGAGGUGCCUAAUGUAGGUAAGAUGAAGUUUUCAGUUGCUUAGUUGUGAGUUUUAGUGUCUCAUACUAAGUGUGUUGUCUCAGCAACAAGACCACAUUGCAAAGCAAAAGAGGACUUCAUAGGAGGAUUCAGAGAUACAUCUAAGUUCAAUAUGUCGAAAGGUUAAGAUGAUCGGUUUACUCACCAUUGACUUGAGACAGGACCAGUCAUCCACUAAAGGCUGGCCAGCUGGUCGGACACUCUCGAGCACUUCAGGCCCUUGCUCGGAACCAAAAAGAAGCUUUCCAAUAAGUUGUAUACUGGUAUCUAUAUGCAGACGAUGUUCCAUUACUUCUAGUAGAUGCUUUUGAGCGUUAAGUUUCUGAUGGGAACCUUCAGGUGCCCUAUGAAACUUCGAAUAAGAAAAAAAAAAAAAAAUUAGUUGCAUAACAACAAAAGCAGCAUGGGCAAAGUGAUGUUUUAAAACCUAAUGUUGCAUAAAAGAUUCAAAGAACUUAUAAAUAAAAUGAACCUUAUGCCAGAAAUGAAUUAGAUCUGCAUCACGUUGGUUCACGGCCUCUGGUAAUGGUGGCAAGGAAUUAUAAUCAACAUAAGUGGGAUUAUCAUUGGCAGGAUUAGAACCUACGUACGAAACAAGUUUUUUUGCAUUUAGAUCCAGAUCCCCGUAUUGCAUGACAUGAGAACCAAAUAAAUAUGUCCUGUGAACUGCAGUCCUGGUUUUGACCUGCAAAGAUUAAUAGAAGUGCUUAAACGGACAGCUACAGAAACAGGUGACAUACGAUGAGGAAACUACGACAUCAAGUGCGUACAAGUUGAUACUGCUGCUUCAGUGUUUCAAUCUGCCAAUUGUGCAUAUAGCUGAUCAUGCAAAAAAAAUAACCAUGUAAGAUAACUAAAACCAAAAAGGUCAAUGGACAUCCAAGAUAUGACACACUACUUGACUGAUUUAUACACAAACAAGUAGGAUUAUAUUCUAUUUCUGUUUAUAUAUUCUAUCAGAAUACUUUUUUUCAGUUUAAUCAAAAGAAACCAUUAACUCAUCUGCAUCAAGAAGACCUAAAAGAGGAUCAUUAUUUUCUAAAAGAAAAUUCAAGCUAUACAAGGAUAAAUGACAUGCUGACGUGCCAAAAUAUAAAGCCAAGAAUAUCAUGCAACAACACUGGAUCUUUUUCUUUGUUUCUCUUUUUUCUGCUGUAAUAUCACUAGAUCUCAAGAAAGAAUAGAAGGUACAGUUUCAUUUUCUCUCAAACAGAAUGCUCACAUAAAGAUGCACAAUCUUGUAUGUAGAAAUGUUAUCCAAAAAGCAGAUGCAUAUAUUCGUCGACAACAAAAGAUGCUCAUUAUAUCAGAUAACCAGGAUGCUUCAUUUGGUGGAGAAGGUUUACACACCUGUCUUCCAUCCAAGAAACACUAUACAGAUCCCCCAAACAGGUAGAGUAUUCUGGAGGAGGGGAAGGGAACAUUCCGGGGCAGUAAGUUCCAUAACUACUCUCUGUAGUAUUUGCUGCAGUGGUUGCAUAUACUUUUAUAUUGUCUGGGAGAAGGCCCUCAAAAAUACUCCCAGAUUCACAAGCUUCAAGAUAAAAUACCUACAUAGUAAAACACGAACAAAUAUAAACUACAAUAUAAAAAAGUUAUGACAGUGCAUACGCAGGGUAUAUAAUAGAUGUUACCAUGCUUUUAAAGGAUCCAGAAGCAUGUUUUUUCUUUAACACGGCAAUCAAGUCAUCCGCAUAAAGGUAAGGAUAAGUGGGCAUCCCUAAGAAGUUUUAGAACAGAAAUUAGAAAAGCUAUCAUUCUGAUGCUACAAGUGUGGAGUCAGAAAAUAGAACAUUUGAGGAACUAAACCCGAUCCCAUGAGAUUCUCAAAUAAGCUGAGGUUUCACAAACUUUUACAACUUCACAGUAAAAUUGCAGCUAGUCAUAAUUCAAAGUUCUACAACUUCAGAAAAAGAACUACAUUCUCUUUCUUAUGGAAAUAUACGAAACCAAACAAACAAUUUAAUAAUUGGACUUACAAUGGCACAAUAAUAAGAAACAUAUAGUCCAACUAACCAAGUACUCCAGGUCCACCGUGAUCAGAGUAGAAAACGAAGAUAUGAUCAUUUGGAGCACUAUUAACAACCUUCCCACUUCCUCCAGACAAAGCAGUCUUGUUUCCCAGGAGUACAGCAAAGAAGUUGUUCACGUUAACAUCAUCUCCAACAUAGUCCUGCAAAGGAUUAUUCCAAACUUAGACAAGAGCCCAUGAUGAUGGACAGGAACUGUAAAUAUAAAUGUGAGAAAGAGAAAACCUUUGGCACUCCAGCAUAAACAUCUUCACCCCAUGGAUCAUUGAUAAUGACCCCAGGUCUAGGAUUAUCCUCAUUAUUAGCAAUGUCAUCAUACAUGAAAACAAUGAUAUUCUCAUCUUGCAAUCCACCCUUUUUCAGGACUUGGUAUGCAUGACAUACAUCAGCCUGAAGAAAGAAUUCAAAGAGAAGUGUUGAUAUUAGGCAAAAUUAACCAGAACUGAAUCAAGACAUGGAUGGAUGUUUUUAAUUUUGCAUAAAAAUGAUUUCCUAUUUAUGAUUACAGAAGAACUCACUAAGAAAUGGUCAAGCUGCAAAAAGAUAGCCACUUUAUAUAAUAAAAGUUGUCUGGCUAAAAAUAAUCAAUUGCCACUAAUUGUCAAUAUUCCAGUCAACAGCAAACUCCAAAAGCCUGGUGUCUUGUGAAGGCACAGUACAUUCAUUUUUGAAUUAGAGAAACACACUCCUCAUACAAAUGAUAUAAAUGACAUAAACAAUGAUAAAAGAACUUCCAAUCAGCAUUCGUAGUUGCUAUCAGUGUAACUUUAGGCAUUUUGUGUAACUAAAUGGUUGUGUAACUAAACAGUGAAUGUUUAUGUUACACCAUAAUUACGGAGGCAAUUAUGCAAUAUCAUAUAAAGGUAAUCCGAACGAGGCUUUUGUCGUUAUGUGCUUCAGAGUGUAUCAGAUACAGAUGGUCAUUAUACCCUCAGAUGUGUAGAGGGCGCUUCCGUGAUCUAACCCAUGACUAGGGGUGUUCAAACCUGUUCGAACCAAACUAUUAAGGGUCAAACCAAACCGAAUCAUUUUUUCAAUUUGAUUAGGUUAAAGUAAGGUAGUCCGAACUAGAACCAAUUCAAAACCGGUUAACUUGGUUCUGUUAACCGGUUUGUAAUUUCAUACAACUAAAAAAUAUAUUUUUUUUAAAUGAACCGGUUCAAUUCAAUUAAACCGAACCGAAAUCUUGGUCCAAUUGAGCAUCAUGACAAUCUUUGUGAAAUUGAGUCCACAUCAUAUGUAAAAUUGAGCCUUUGGGUCAGUUUUAUUGAUCAAUUUAAAUUGAUUAAGGGCUUAGGAUAGUAAACUCAACCAGAUUGAUAUCCUUUAAAUUAAGACUGGUUCAGUUCGAUCGAACCAGUUUAACCAAACUGAAGAAAGUUACCAUCGAACUGGAACCAUUUAUAGCCUCCAAAACUAAACCACUGGUGAAUCAGUUCUGACUGAACUGGUUUUGAAUUGGUUUGGUUCCGGUUCAGUUCGAUUUGAAUACCCUUACCCAUGACACCCAAACUGUAGUAGACAACUUUAGUGUCCAUUAAGGUUUGUUCCCUACUUCUGUGGAAAAAGAUAGCAAGCUAAACUUAAUAAAUGACAAUUGUAAGGUUGAAAACAUCAAAUUGAAUUUUAUACAAUUUUGAUAUUGUCUAUAGCCGAAACUUUGCAUAAUGAGCAGAAAAAUAUUUCAAAUUUGUUUUCCAAAAUUAGUACAAUUUUGUAGAUAUGCUAGUAUUGUGCUAAAGAGCAACUAAAAUGAUUUUCUUUUUCCACAUAAAAAGAAAAUUAAUUGGUGAUCUCUGGAAUCCAAUCAGUUAUAACCCAUCUCACAAUCAAACCUCAAAGAAGUGGAAACAACUAUACAAAAUAUCUAUCUACAUCGAGCUCUUUUAAACAAGGGUCAAUGUUCCUUAUCAAGCGAUGAUUCAGCUCUAGGCCAACCACGAUAAAAAAAUUCCAAGAGCUCACCAAUAGUUUACCGAACAGAUGCAAACUUUUUUAUGUUUCUGUAUGAAGUAAAUAAUAAACCAAUAGGAACAGCUUCGAGGGUUGAAAAAUGGAAUCAGAAGAACACAAAAUGACAGAAAUAUCGAAUAACAUUUAUGCAUAUAUGCUACCGCUACAACCCAACAAAGGGGACCGCAUACAUUUAAUUAGGCAAGAGAAAAUAGCAUGAGGAAAUGCCAGUAAUCAUGUCUGAUCAAUAUACUUUCCACAACCACGAGUCAAACCUAAACGUCUUUGCCUACCAAUUCUUUGAUCAUGAAGAAUUCAUCGGAAAAAUUGAGCUCGUGCCGCAUUCCGCAAGCACGUUAAUCAAAAUAUGGUCCUGUAUAUGCUAUCUAAUUGCGAAAUAUCAGAAAUUUCUUCGAGAAAUCCUUCAAAAGAACGCGCUGGUCCCUCGGGCACGCUAUUGACAAUAACGGUAACAUGAAACAAACAACGUUGACGAACGCGACAAAAUAAUAGAUUUCCAAACAGGAAGGCGGUUUGUUACUCCGAGAAGACGUUUUUGUUUCCUUCUUUCUCCAUGGAAAAAAUCAUGAGACGGAAGUGGGAGACGAUAUACCUGAUGGCGGUAGUUGUAGUAUCCAUUGGAUCCGGCAAUGAGGACCGCCCACCUCGUCCCCAAAGGGUCGCCCUCACCGAUGAUCGGUUUUGCCACGCGAUCGGACGGCAACCUUAUGGGAUCGAGGCGGGAUUCGACGAGCAGCAGCGGGACGAGGACGAGGACGAGGACGAGGCGGCGAAGCGCGCCGGCGGCAAAGCGGGCCAUCGUAACCGUUUCGGACGUAUCAAGGCGGAAGAGAUCCGAUAUAUCCGAUGUGGAUCGCUUACUCCGUAACGGAGGAGCGCCCCAAACAGAGGCAGGCCGCGAUUAGUGCUGACCAUUUAUAGGCCGCGGCGCGGGUCACCCCGAUAUAUUGGCCAUGGGAUCUGCUCGACGACGACGUGGAUCCGUCGCCACCGUCCCUUUUAUUGUUGGCUGAAUAUGACGCGGCCGUGGGACCGGGAACAAAGAUUAUCCCGACACUGCGGGACGGCGAACGUGACGUACCCAAAUCACUCACCUGUCCUUUAAAUGGAUGCAGCGUGUGGGACCACCUUCUUUGGGGGGACGUGUUGUCAUUCUUGGAACACACGUAGCACAAGGCCUUUUCCAAACGUAUCAAGGAGUUGAUCGUUUAACACGAAUCUCAACGGACGUAGAUUCGAUAUUGAUUUAAUACAAACAUCGCUUCGGAUUUUUAUUCUUAUGUUGAAAGCUUAUAUCUGUUAACAGCUUCACUGCGUUACCGUGGUGUUCAACCUACACGCUUCAUGAUAGGACAACAAGCAUGGGUCCCAUGCUGACUCUGCUGAACCGGUUCGCUGCUGAACGCGAAGGGGUAGGAAAAGUACCAUGUCGUGGCUGUAUCUCAAGCAAACAUUUUGGGCCCCAGAAGAGGUUGGUACGUAUGUCCUCGCGCGUAAGCUAUACGCGUCGGGAGUCCCUUUGGGAUGGACACCAAAGACGCUUGGAGACUCCACCACGACUCGUGGUGUCCCCGUGACGAAGCACAUUGAUGACUUCCCAAGUUUCUCUUUAAAUGAGCUCCUCGAUCCUUCGCCCAAACCUUUCUCUCUAUUUCGACUCCUCCACAUCCGUUUCUACGAGGUCUUCUUGAGUUAGGGUUCCGAGGGUUGGUCCGUCAUGAAUCCCGAAUAGUAAGCUUCUCCGAUCCUCGAUUUCUUUUCUUUUCCUUUACCAAGAAGUCUCUUGUCUGCUAUUAACUAGGGUUUUCUGUUCUUUGCGGCUUUUGAUUCGGCAGAUCGUCUCGUUUUCUUUUGGUUUUUUUUUUCUCGAUUUCCUAAUUUUCGGCAUGCUUUAGCCGGCUUUUCUCUCUUCAGGGGCGAGCGAGUUCAGGAUAUUAAUGUGACGAGGGUUUUUCCCCCUUUUCUUUUGCCGCACUAGUUGGCGACCAAAAUUCUACUGUUAAUGUCUGUUGUGAUGUGUGUAGAUCAGUCUCGGCAUGGAAUAUGAGAUCAUAAUGACCAAUAUUGGACCUUUUAUUAUUAGAAACUGGAUUCAAACAUUUGGUGCGUCCAUUGUGGCUAUCAGCUUUACCUCCUUUGAUGUGUGAUUUCAGCCAUCACAUCCACUUUGUGAGAAAGCUGAAUCCAUGUGAUGAUUAUGAGCACUCGUACAUGCUUUCACUAGAAAAUAAACGAAAGGAUAAACUAUUGUGUAAAGUAUCUUCUAACUUCGUGAGUUAUGUCUGAACUGAUAAAAUAACGAUCCAAGUUUGAUUUUUUUUUUUGUUUCAUGAGAUCAAAGGACAAUUUUGCAUAAAAAGAUAUUUAUUUUUUGUUUUCUCUCAUCUUUCUCGAAGUUUCAGUUUGUAGUACAGAUUCUAGUAAAGAUCUGUUGCGGAUAAAAUAAUCAGAUAUAGAUUUUUAACACUCUAUCGUGGAAAAAUUAGACUAGGAAGUUUUGUAAUUCAUGAUUUUCUUUUUUCUUUUUGUGCUAUCAUUGUUUGAGUGUGUCCUUGUCAUUUUAAUUUAGUUGAAACUGCUAAAUGGUGAUAAUUUUUCAACUAUGUUAAAAAUGAUAGAAUUUUGUUCUUUUGUAGGUAUGUUUUGCAGAUCCAUAAUACAUGUUUUUUAUUAUUAUUUUUUAUCAUUUUUUUAUAUCUUUGUUGAGCUUUUUGAUUUCUGAUGUGGUUAAAACUGAAACAGAUGAUGAAAAUUUUUCAAAACUGUUGAAGACGACAGUAUUUUGCUUCUUUUACCAGCUGUAAUUAAGCAUUGAAACUAUAUAAUAUCCUUGGUUUUUUGCAGCAGAAUAUUUUGUUGCUGCAUGAGAAUGAUUCUUAUCUGUUAUUUUCUAAUUCAUAAGAGACUUUUUUUUUAUGUUUGAUGAUUUUGUGAAUUGCUGAUAAGAUGAAGUUUUAGUCUAAGAUUGGUAAAACAAUUGUAAUAGAUAAUUAGAAAUGAUACCAUGGUGCAAGUGGAUAAUGAAUAAGGACUCAGAGGAACCUGCCCUUUCAGAGCUAAGGCAUAUAUAGGAAUAGGACCAAGUUCUUAUAUGGCAAGUAUAAAUUGAAAUAUGAGAUUCCAACUGAUUUAUAUAGAUCCUGGGAUGUUUUGAGAUUCCAUCAUACCAAAUUGAGCCAUUCUCACAUGGCAUCAAGUGUUAUACCUUUAGAUGGACUACCUCAUAGAUAUCUGCAGGUUCAUCAAUGUCUUUUGUUUGGAAAUGUUUCUUAUGAAGUGAAAAAAACACUCAUUAACAGAUUGAUAAAUUUUUUAGGGGAAAAAAAAACAGAUUGAUGAAGUUACAUUUAAUAAAAUGAAAAUUACAAUUUUGAUAGAACAUAUAAUAUUGAUUGCUAAAAAAAAACUAUUUUGAUGCAUAAAUAGAACAAUCCCUUGCAUGACUUAGUAUUAAGAAACAAAAAUAGAACAAUCCCUUGUAUGGCUUAGUAUUAAGAAGUUAUCUUAUUGCUAUUAUAGAAGUAUGCCAUAUAUGGAUUAGUAUUUUUGACUUUUGGUGUGAUAUAUCAAAUCAGAACUUGUGACAAUGUUAUUCCUAGUAAAUAUUAACAUUUAAUGUCAAGUAUUUCUUACUGAAGAAAGAAACAUGGCAUUUUGGAGACUACUUUUGUGCUAGUCAGGUCUAAGUUUAGCAGUUCUCUCCCUCAUCUUGAUUAAUGAGUGCAGUAAAUAGACUCCAAGCUGCCAAAUUAGACUUAAGUAGAAAUCUAAUGGCUCAUGAUACUCCAGUUUCUCAAAUGGGAGACAAAAAUAGGAACAAAGAUAUGCUGAUUUUCUCUACUUGUUGGGACCUGUGAAUUUAUUUUGCUCAGACUUGCUGUUAUGUGGUAUGUCAGCAAAUAUUUUCUUAUAAAAAAUAGUUGUUAUUGAAGCUAUAUAUCAACCAUAUGCAUUGAUUUUAGCACUCAUAUUUUAGUGGGUUGUAACUUUGUAAUUGCUUAACAGUUUUUGUAGCAUUAGGUACAGAUUCACCUAUGUCCAUUUUUCUAGCAUGGAGAAAAGUUGAGAUUGAUGCAAUUUUAUUUAUUAGGGAAUAGAAACUCUGAAUAUCAACAUCUAUGACCAAUGUAUAUAUUGCAGUGACUAUCUUUUCAAGCUUCUGCUUAUUGGGGAUUCGGGGGUUGGAAAAUCAUGCCUUCUACUUAGAUUUGCGGUGAAGAUCUCCUCUUUUGUCUUCUUUUCUAGUUCUUUGGAACUUGCUAUCAUCUUAUGAUAAUACUCUGUUGUGCUACUUUUGGCUUUUUCUAUGACACUAUAUCUUUUACUGUAGGAACAUUGUUACCAUGGAGGCAUACUGUUUUGAUCAUAUGGGAACAUUAUGUGUAACUGUCCAAUUUUAGGUCAUGUAUUUGUUGUGUUUGCUCAUUCUUUAUUCAUGUAUGGUGGCAGUUUCUAGUUCAACUAUUUCUUGUUGAAAAUAAGCACACACAUUGUUUACAUAUAUGAUCUCUGAUUGUUGAUUUUCUAUGAUGCACACACAUAAUAUCCCUUUCCAUUAUAUUUAAAUUCAUAACAGUUGAGAUUAAUUUUUUAUUUUGUGAUAUCGAAAUAAAUUAAUAAUUAUGCACUUAAUCAUAUUAAUUUAUUUUGAUUUCACAUAAUGAAAAGUUAAUCUCAACCGUUGGGGAUUUAAAUGUAAUUACAAGAGACAUCAUGCCGUAUGGUAAACAAAAGUUUGUUUAUCUAGAAAUUAUGAUUUUAUUAUCUUGUCUUUAUCGAUAUGAGAAUUCAUGAGUGUUAAAUUAAUACCAAGGAUCAUUAUAAAACCUGACAGAACAUAUAAUGAUUACAUGAAAGAACCUCCUAAAAUAUAAGUGUUCUGAAUAAGGUUUAGGGUGGAACAAUAUGUGUAUUAUGGAAAACCAACAAUCAGAGAUCAUAUAAGCAAAUAGUGUAUGUGCUUGUUUUCAGGAAGAAAAUAGUUGAAGCAGGAAUUGCUGCGGUAGACGAAUAAAGAAUGAGCAAACACAACAUAUGUAUAAAUUGGAAGACCUUGUAGAUGAUUCCAGUCCAAGGAAACCCUUAGGCAUAUUAUUUACUGUGCCCGUUGUUGAGAUCAUCAGUUGAGAUCAUCAUUCUUCCGUUUCAGGUAUAUUAGUUUUAGGAAGUUGGAAGUCUCUUUUCCUUCUUAGGAUAUUUCUAUUUGAUGUAAUCAGGCAAGGUUUGUGAGUUACUGACUUCUCCCAACCCCCCAAGAGUUUCCCCCCUCAGGUUCUAAAUUCAUGAGAUGUAUUUUCAUGACAAUUCUAUGUUUUCUAUGUAACAAUGCCUCAGAUUUUGACAUAUCUAAAGUUUUUGGGCAAUUUCACAUUUGAUGAACACUUGUUCAUUUUAUAUUGUGCAGUAACAAGUGUGAAUUACAUGUUUUAUUGCAUGAAAUGUGCUACAUUGUCUUAUUUUUCUGCAUUUUUAUUGAACCAUAUGGAGAUCUAUGAUAUGUAAGUUUCUCUUCUUGCUUGCUUCAGGAUGAUUCCUAUAUAGAAAGUUACAUCAGUACAAUUGGUGUAGACUUUGUGAGUAUGCUUACACUUUUAUACCCUUCUCCCUCUUGCUCCCUUUUCUCCUCUCCCCACCCAAAACUUGUUUCAUGACAGUUUCUUUUUAUCUCAUUAGAAAAUUCGCACGGUAGAGCAGGAUGGGAAAACCAUAAAACUUCAAAUUGUAAGUAAGAAUGAAUUUAGCAUCUGUCGUGAAGCAUUUAGGUUCUUUUCAUGCUAUUACGUUUUCUCUUCAUUGCAGUGGGACACUGCUGGUCAGGAACGCUUCAGGACAAUCACAAGUAGCUACUACCGCGGUGCACAUGGGAUUAUUGUGAGAUCCAUCGUGAUUCUAUUGCUGUGAUUUCAGUUUUCAUGGUUUACUAUACUGUUUUGUUUGACAAUAUAUGCCUGACAGGUGGUCUAUGACGUAACUGACCAAGAAAGUUUCAACAAUGUCAAGCAGUGGCUGAAUGAGAUUGACAGGUAUGCCAGUGAAAAUGUGAACAAGCUUUUGGUGGGAAACAAGUGUGAUCUGACCGAUAAUAGGGCAGUAUCUUAUGAAGCUGGCAAGGUAAUUAUUGCUGUUAAGGAGUAACAAAGGCAGGAUCCCUCAUCUUCUGCAGUCUGCAAUUUGAGUCGAAUGAGCUAACAAUCUCUGGCCUUGGUUCCUGAAGGCAUUUGCGGAUGAGAUCGGCAUACCAUUCCUGGAGACAAGUGCCAAGGACGCUACGAAUGUAGAGAAGGCAUUUAUGACCAUGGCUGCUGAUAUAAAGAACAGGUGAGCUUUUAUUUGUCGACAUUUGCAUGGAAGAACACUCCAACCUCGUAGAAUUAUCACUGUUUGAUUCGUUUUUAGUCAAGCUUUUAGAUCAUACUGAUAGUGUCAUUGGAUUUUUGUGUACAGAAUGGCAAGUCAGCCAGCUAUGAAUGCCAGCAAACCUACGACGGUCCAGAUGCGGGGUCAACCAGUCGCCACGAAGAGUAGCUGCUGCUCCUGAAUCAAUUCAACACAAUCAUACGCCUUUGCUCCAGACGAGAGGUCAUUAUGCUGAUAAAAGUUGGGGGGCUGUUUAUGGCGUGUAUUUGUGAAUUACAAUCAGAAACUCUGCUUGGUUUGUAUUGGAUUUAAAAGAAACAGGUUUGUGUUUAUCUGCCACCCGGAUGAUCUUGAGGUAUUCAAGUAUUAAUGACACAAAUAGUUGCUAUCUUGAUCCUCGAACGUAAUUCAUCCUAUGUAUAUACAUAUUUGCUAGUUUGCACUGACUUGAUCUUGCACGGGCGAACGCUGCCGGCCUUCUCCUUUUUAAGUUUGAUGUUUUAUUAUUGAGUAACGUCUUGUGCCAAAUCAAUGUUGCAACCUUGAAUGCUACGACUUGUAAUCUGGCGCGUGCCAUGUGAGCCAUGUGAUCGCCGCGGAUGGAGUGUUAGGUUCGUAAAGGGUUAUCUCAUAAAAUCUAUAAAAGAGUAAAUUAAUUAGUUUAAAAACUAGAUAGGUUCUGAUAUCUGAUGUUAUUUAUAUGAUUAUUUAUAUGAUCAAUUCACGAAAGGUUAUGCAAGAGAAAAAAAAGAGGAAAGAGAAAACAAAUAUUUUAGAAUGCAAAUGAACAGUCGGAAGUCUGCAAAUGAUUGUUCACCGAGUGUCGAGGGCGAUGGCAAAUUCUUGUAGACUUUGAAAUUCGUUUCUAUUCAUAGUUUUCAAGCAAAAAUAUAGAAAAUUAAGGCAAAAUACACUGCUAAGCAUAUGUGCAAGCAAACAAAAGCGAUUAACAAUUCAUUGACAAAGAACCUAUCUAGUUUUUAACUGUUCGUGACAUUCUCCCUCACUUAAACUGUUGACGCUCUUCAUGCUCCCAAGUGUCUUCCGUUCGAGGAAGAUUUCAUCACUUUACUAAGUAUUCAGUCUGCUAUGCUCCGUUGGAUAGUUUUGUCUUAUGAUCCAUUAAAAUGAUUUCAACUCAUUUAUAAUAGGAAACUCUGGUGGGAGGUAACAAAGUUGAAAUACUUCAGGAAGCAUCCUACGGGUUUGAGUGAUAGGCUUGUAAGUUGCUUGCGUGGAAGACUUAAUGGAUUUUGAGUCACGCUUGUAGUUGUAACUUAUAGGAGACAUUGUCUACCAUGUUGAUAAUUGAGAAUGAUCCUUUGCGCACCAAUCUCUUAUGCACAUUAUGCUUAAAGAACUAGAGUGAUGCUAGUUGGAGCUUCAUCAAUACCAAGUCACCAAUUUUAAACUCUUAUGGUCGUGUUUCCAAGUUUGCCCAAUUCUUCAUCCUUUUGAUAACAUUUUCUAAGUAAGCUCACACAAAAUUUACAUUUUGGUGUUAUUCUUUUAUAAAGUGAUAUUCGGUAUAACCAAUCGCAGGUAUAAAGAGUCGAUGACUGUUGUCCCAUAAUGAUAUCGAAAGGACUCUAAUUAAAUGCAAAGCUCUACUGUAAGUUAUAGGAGAAUUGGGCUAUAUCCAAUAGCUUCAACUAAUCUCAUUAGUUAGUACUUACAGUGCCGAAGAUAUUACUUAAAGAGUAAAUUUGUUCUUUUAGUUUGGCUAUUUGUUUGGGUGUAAAGGUUUGUGGAGAAGUUUAACUUAGAUCCUAGUAAUUUGAACAACUCGAUCCAAAAUUGUCCAAAGAACCAUGCGUCUCGAUUACUAAUGAUAUUGUGCGGGACUCCCCAAUACUUCAGCACAUUCUUUAUCAUUAACUUGGUCAUGUCUUCUGUUGAGCAGUGUAAGGGUGCAACAAUGAUUGUUGCAAAUUUUAAAAAUCGAUCAACUACCACAAGUAUCGAUCCAAGUCUUUCUAUUAUCGGCAAGCUUGAUAUGAAGUAUAAAAAAAUAUUCUCCCGUGACCUUUUUGGUACGGACAAUGACUCAAAAAAUUUCAUUGGCUUUCAUUGCUUUACUUUGUGAUAAAUAAGACACGUUCGAAUAUAUUACUCCACAUCGGUCUUCGUUUUCGGCUCAUAAAAGACCCUCUCCACGAGACCCAAUAUUUAGUGAAUGUUUAGAUGUCUAACCUAAAAGAAAUCAUGACAUUCUCUUAGGAAUUUAUGCCUCAAACUAUUCAUUUAAAGAACAUAAACUUUAUUACUUCGAAGAACAUACUUUAUCAUCAAACUCAAUAAACUAUUGAGUAUCACAUUCUCAUCAGCUUAAUAUCAACUCGGAUGUCUUGUCACUUCGAUAUUUGGUGGGCUGAUGUUGGGUUGCAAUGAUGUAAUUGUCCAAAAAGUUAAUUUGAUUUUUAAUUACCCUAAUGUUUAUUUACUUCAAUCAGUUAUCAAAAAUCAUUAUAAAAAGCCGAGAUACGAUUAGUUUGACCAAAGAUUAUUAUAACACUAUAAGAAAAACCUUAGUUAGCUCUGAAUCUCCUUCCGAUGGAUAAUAAAUUUAUUAUUAUAAAUUAGUGUUAGAACGAGGACCUAAUAUAACUCAUAUAUCAUAAGAUAAUUGAGUCAAAACCUCAUGAGAUCACAUAAAAGAUUCGAUACUAUUAACGCAAACACUUGCUUUGAGAAUAGGAUUAGGAAACCCUUUUUUCCUUAUCCUUAAAGCACAGUAACACUUCAACAUUUAGAUGAUGCUAGUUACAUCACUUAUGAUGAAUCAAUCAUCGUGCUGAAUUAGUUGUAGAAUAGACCAUGUAUAAAAAUAGAUCAACAGACACAAAUGAAUCGAUCAACAAACACAAAUGAAUCGUUUAAGCAUUGUAAAUCAAAAUUAAAUAAUAUUUUUUCACAAGUGAAAGAUACUAAUAAAUAAAUAUAAAUAUAAAAUAAAUUUAGAAUAUUUUUAUAAUUUAAAAUAUUUGAUUUCGAAACAUGACUCUAAUAUCAAUUAUAAACAUAAAACUAUAAUAUAUUAAUAUUAUGUAAAAAUACUGAUAUAUUAAAUUUAUAAUAUAUACCUUUGAAUACCGGUCGGAAAACCUUUAUUUGAUUUACAAACACACAUCAUUGAAUUUGAAAGUUACAAUAAUAUUAAUUUAUAAAGAGAACUAUAUUUCUUUUCUUAUUCUUGUAAACUAUAAGCAAUAAAUUAGAGACAAAUAAAAGAUCUUAGAAAUAAAUAUUUUGAGAAGAGCCAACACAAGUUCCUAAAAGUCAAGUCGACGAUUUCAAGUCAUAACCCCUUAAAAACUAUAUUUGAGAGACAAAUUAAAAGGACUCAACUUAAAGGAACACAACUUUAAAUGUUACAAAUUAGAUCUCCAUGGAGUUGUAGGACACUUUGGAGAUGCUAAACAAUCUCAUCACAAUAAAUGAUACUCAACUUAACAAUACACAACUCAAAAGUGUCCUACAAACAUUAGAGAUCAUCACUCUAAUACUUAUCUUAAUUAUAAGCAGCCUCUAAAUCCCCUUAAGAAAGAGAUUUUUGCCACACACAUCCCCAAGCAAUUUUGUAAGAAUGUAACCAAACCCAGGUGAAGUACUAUUACAUGAAUCAAACAUUCAAACAUUAUAUCGACAUUAAUGAAACAAUUGAUUCUCCUUUCUCAAGGCAUCAAUUUGCAAUCGCCACUCCAAAACAUACUAACCAACAUUGUAUCGACAAUAAAGAAAUAAUUGAUUCUCCUUUCUCAAGGCAUCAAUUUGCCGGGACAUUAAUAAACGGAUUGAAUGUCAAAUAAGGCUUCAAAGUACGUCUAUCCGCGUACUGGUUGGUACCUAUCGGUGAUCGGACGCCAAUAAGAGGCUCAGAAUACAUUGCUCAGAAGCCAAGCGUAACAAAGGCACUUCAUCGAAGACCCAAUUUGGUUGAAAGGAUCUUCUUACGUGUUAGCAGCUCAUCAUAGCAAUGUUUUCUCGGUGUUGACGAAAACCACACAGGCGAACGCUAAAUAAGCAGGUUUAGAAUCGAUACUGCUUAGUCUUUUGAAACACAUGGCUGUUUCAUACGGCCAAAAAGGAAAACUCGAAUGCAUUAUAGAAAAUGAAGCGCCAAUCAUGCAUAUCUCCACAAAUUGCUACAAGAAAUAUCAAUUGUUUGGCGAGCUAAUCUACAUCAUGUAAUGAAUGAUACCUAGAACUCAGUGAACGCUUGCCUGCUUCUAGUCCCAGAAUCAAAAGACAGAGACACUGAAUGCUUAGAAUCAAGGGAAAGGGAACCCGAAAUCGUUGCCAGAGACGGAAAAAAAGGACAAGAACGAAUGACUUGCAUAAUCGGGGAUCAAGCGAUUUUUAACACAAAUCAAUUUUGUAUCGAAGCAAAGAGUAAAAUCCUGGAGAAACCGAAACAAUCAGCGAAAAUCCAACUGCGCAAUAUCACAAGUGCACAAACUUUGACCGACAAGAGGUCUCCUCACUACAACCAAGGACCACGGGUCUCCGGCUGAAAUCAUUCGCGAAGCCCCUAGAAACAGUGGAACAAAGGCAACGACGAAGGAUUCGGCGAAAGAAAGGGGAGAGGAAACGAGGAGGUAAGGUCGCCUCCGCAAGCGAAUGGGAGGACGCGAACGAAUCGGAAGCUCGGACCACCACCGCUUAUAUAGCGCUGGAGGUCCGAAAACCCUAAAGCGUUCGGCCGAUCGCCUCCUCGUGUUAUGACCUAAGUGCCCCUGGUGGCCGAUUUGUUCGUUCCUUAUGUUAAGACGAAAGUACCCUUGAGCGUCCAAGAACCAACGGUUUCAGAUCCGUAUGUUAUGACGAAAGUACCCUCGAUCUUCCAAGAACCAACGGUUUUAGAUCCAUGGGCUAAAUAAAUAGCAAAUGCAAUAGAGACGCAUGUAAUGACGGAAGUGCCCCCGUAGGACCCAAGAAUUCCAAUCGACUCCAACGUAUUUGGAGCCUUCUGAUGCCUCGAGCAGAGUGAAAGGGAAGCCUUCAUCCAAAGCUUUGGGGCCGGAUUUGAAGUGAGAAAAAAUUGUGACAAAUACACAGCUGAAACUUAUACAGAUUAAUUUUAAUUUUCGUGCAUUAAUGGCUCCUCACAAGUAUGUGCUUUCGCUGGACCGACAGCAGAAAGCGCCUCAAAGAACGGGAGGAGGUCGCUAACAAGUCUCUCGUGAAUUCAUAUGACCACGGAAAGUCUCGCCAGCUCCCAAAGCAAUAUGAAGAACAAGAAGAAAAAGACGCAUAUCGCAUAGAGAAGGAAUGCCACAAAGCGUCUCUUCCUUGUGCUGUAGGCGAUGAUAGGGCAUGUAAGCGAGUUGGGAACAAAACUGAAAAGGACAAGUAGUUCAGGAAAAAGGAAACGAAACUAAGAUUUAGAGAUGAUAAAAAAAAAAAAAUCCACAGUAUUAAUCGAGGUACUAACAUUGAGAACUAGUCAUACCACUCCUCUCAAAGAAUCCAGUUUUUGAUGAAAUAAGAGACUGAAUUCAAAACCAUAAAAGAACAUAGGAAAAGCUUAUCGAAAUUUUUUGAUGAACAGGACAAAGAUUUAGCUUCUCAAAAUUUUUCGAUGAACAUGACAAAGCUCCUCGAAACCAUUAAGAUUUUCAAUGCUACAUCAAAACUCGAAGCAUUAUAUCUUCGUCUUGGAUGUCUACAUCAUAUACAGUCAUCAUAUCAACCUCGGACGGACUGAAUAUGUUUCGACCUGGCUACAGACACAGCUCAACAAUUCUCCCUUUCCCCAAUGAACUGCAAUGAGAUAAAAGAUAUGGACAACAUUAUGCAUCAAACAAGCAGUAGAAAUUUACAGUGUCAGUGACCGAGAAAUGCCAAGUAGGUAGAAAGCACACACUCAUGACCGAGUCAUGCUUUGAGAAAAGUCAUUGUUCCAAUACACUUGAUGUUAGCUAUUGCUUGUCAAUCGUGUUGACGAGCUCAAUGCUUCAGUGAUCCUACUGAAGACGAGUCUAAGUGGAACACAUGCAACGGCAGGUCCCACCAUCUUUUCAACCACUGGCUUUCUCUCUUCUCCCUUUUCUUUCUGAUCAACAUUAAUUGAUGACAGCCUUCUGAUCUUUCUGGGAGACAACCUUGGUUUCCUGUUUUUCGAAUAUUUCCUUUUCAAUGAAGUAACAUUUGUAACUUCACAGUUUAUCCCAACAACAUUGAGAUACAUCUGGGCCGACUUCCUUUUAGGUAGCGAUUUCCCAAUACUAUUUCCCCCAUCCUUCAGUGACUGAUCAAUAUGCCUGGUAGUUAACAGAGUAUCGACUAAGCCAUCUUCCACAACCUCUAUAGGAACGGGGUGACCGACAAUUUCUUUACUAUUUGAUUUACUCAUGAGAGAUAUUAGAGGUACAUGAGGUCCACGAUAGCUUGAUUGUACAGUCACUUCAACAUCGUAUAGACAAGAACCCACACCUGUAAAUUUCAGUUGCUUCGACACCUGAUACUUAGAGCUAGUUGAUAGAGAAACCUGGCCAUGAGGAAACAAUCGUUGAAUCAGCAGAGCGGAGAUAGGCACAUGUCUCUUGGAUGAUCUAUCUUGAUCUCUUGCAUGUGCAGGCUGAAUUUUUACAAGUUCUGACAGGGAAUGUCCAUGUUCAUCAGAAAGGUGAAGAUCAGAACUCUGAUUUGGGGGAACGUCAUGUACCUCUGAGACUGAUUCAUCCUUCACCAACUGACCACCAUGAGAAUUGGAGGUCACGGAUUCACCAAAACAACUGCCAUCAAUUUUACAACCUGCAAAAUACCUUUCCUCCUGUAUUUUACCCUUCAAGGAACUGUCAGGAACAGCCCCAUUCAUAAAGUUUUCUGAACUUGUAUUUUUGCUAAACCUUGAAUUGUUCAGGUUCUUUUUAUGGUUUAAAUGCCGUUCCAAGGACCUUUUUUCUGUUUCCCCUUUGAUGUUCUUAAACCGACCCUCCGAGCCAGUGAAGCUACUCUCACCAAGUCCUUCUGUGAAGUGUGAUUCAAGUUCAUCCUGGUGGCAACCAUUAUGUUGCUUUUCUGCUACAUCAGGGUGAAGAUCUCUAGUUGGAAAGUGUUCAAACAUGAUUGAAAAAUCUGGAACAUCAUAUUACAAACAAGUUAGUCAUUUUUACAAUCAAGAUUAUUGCAUUAACAUGGAAGACAAAAAGUGCACAUUCUCUGCAUUCUAAAUUGUAAUUAUGUACAUAACACCAACAUCAUAGUAACAGAAGAAUAACAUCUAGUUAUUUCAGUGCUGAUAAUUUUAUUUGGCACAGUUUAUAGUCUCACACAUAUGGUUGCCUUAAACUUAUGUUUCUUUAAAACAACUAAGCACCUUUAUAGAUCAAAACUAACUAACGAAUAAACAAGUGAGAGAAAAGAAGUUGGAAAGCAACAAAGUGACAUGAAAAGAUUACAGAACGAAAAAAUAGUCAGCAAAAAAUCCUGACAUAUUAUCAAGUUCCCAAAAAGAUAUAUGAUUAAUAUAUCAGUAGUAAGAAUCUGCAUUAACAAGAUUAAUUAAACAUGAAUUUACCAGCAAACAAGGGUAAAUGCUGAGUCUUUGGUAUCAUCAGGUAAAGACAUUCAAGUCAACUCCUAAUAAAAGAAAUUUUAAGGGUAAUGUGGGUGUGCAAAAUACAGACACCAUAACAUUGUUUGGUGAAAGAAGCAAGCUUACAUAAGCAUAAUUUGAAAUAUGUAAUUUCCUCAAAGAAUGACAAAAUGUUCUACAUGUAUAUCUCCUCACAAACUCAUGCAAAGUUGGUAGUCACUACAGUAGAAAUUGUACUUACGACAGUGUGCAUAAUAUCCUACUGGUGCAUGCUGCAGCAUGCCUGUGCAUAAUUGAUGUAGAUCGAGAGGUCAUGAAUCGGUCUAGGUUAAGAUGGGCCAUAUUACUUUUUCUGUUUUUAAAUAUUUAAGAAAAUUCUCAUUGCUUCUUUAUAUUUUGGAAAUAAAUAUCAAUGAGUUUGAGUCCCAAAAAACCAAGGACUCAAACUCACAAGCUAUACUGCCAUCUUUAUAUUUUGGAAAUAAAUAUCAAUGCUUUUACGUCAGAAAAAUAAACAAUGAAUAAGCCAUGGUCAUUAGUUUCUUACAACAAGGGGGGGGGAAAGACAAAUUUUUGGAGCUUGAUUGUUGAUAGAAAGGUCCUAUGAUCGAAUCUCAUCUUUGACGCUUACCAAAGUGAAAAUAAAAAGAGCUUAAGGGAUAAUAGUAACAAUAUUCUUAACCUACUAGCUUAACAACACGAAAAAUUCAAGAUGUAUAUGAACACUUAAACAGUAGUAGAAGUCAAGACUUGCAAUCAAGGUAAGAUAAGCUGAACUGCAACACGGAUAUGAUAAACAGAAAUGCACUCUCUACAACCAUAGGUAAUACUUGUUUACAAGGAACGCAGUCUCAUACCGACUGGCCAUAUCAGUCCUAGUCGAACAGGUACAUACAUACCCACUGAUAUAAGUGUAUGGCACAUGGUACACGAGUAUGUACCAAUGAAAUAGAUGGCAGCGGAGAAGAAAGGAGGAAGGAGGAAGAGGAAGUAAGAAAAGAGGCAGUGAAGAAAGAGGAGGAAGAAGAAAAAGAAGGAAGAGGAAAGAAGAAGAGGUGGCCGUGGAGGAAGGAGGAAGGGGGAAGAGGAAAAGGAUACAAGAAGGAUGGAGGAAGAAGAGGAGGAAGAGAAGGAAACAUAUCUGAAACGACAGCAGGCAAUGGGCGGCGGGCAGUGAGAGGUGAUAGCAAUGACUCGGAUGAGUGUCGGGGAAGAGAGCUAACGAAUGCAAGCCCAAACUUGUUUUUUUUUUUAUUGGUUGGAACAGACUGCCUGAAACGCGAUAGUCCAUGUACCAUUCUAUGUCCAAACCGGUAUGCUUUACUUAUCUGAGCAAAACAGCAUUCCUCGGUUGUGUACAUAUAAUCCUCUCCAACCUUCCAUUGGCACAAAAAAUCAUGUACCAAGCUAUAGUUAGUAAUAAAUUAAGUAGACGAUAAGAAAGAGAUGACACUCAUCCAAGAAUAUGACUGCAAGAAUCUAGAAUUCAUCAAAAAAGGAAAAAAAAUUAUAAUAGAAACAAACCCUCAAAUGUAAUAAUCCAGGUGAAAAAAAUUUCUGGAUAAGUACCUAUGAUGACCAAGUAUGCAGCAUAAGGACACAUCUUAAACUAAAACUGGGUUUAAGCUACAAGAAGCAUAAAAAUCCUUAUAGUAUGUCAAUACCAAUAUCCCACUCUACAGUGGGCAGCUGCAAAAUCCAAGUUCGUUGACAAGGUAACAUUGACAGAUUAUCUGGUAUAACAAUGGCAUCCAAGUCAUGUAACUUAGUAAUGCCAAUUUAUGAUCAGAAUGGCAUAAUAAAUGGCACAUGAAUGCACUGAAAAUGCCUAACAUUAGUUUACCAUGCUGAAGCAACAAGAUGUGUCAUCUCAUGCAAUUUAACUUUAAAUGUCAGGAUCUUCAUUGUUAUUCAAAUUUAGAAAUAGAAGAAAAUUAUAAGAAGAUCAAUUUUUAACACAAACAAAGGAGGAAAUUUGUAAGCAUACCUUCCCUGAUAUUGUCUGCCAUUAUCAGGGGAAUAUCAAUGAGGCCAUCGGAGCAGUCAUUGUCAAUAAACUCCAACAUGCUCGCAAGCUCCGAGUCCUUUACUUCAGAAUCAAAAUUUGCAUCAUCAAUUUCACGAGUGUUCUCACAAGCAUUCAACAAUGCCUCACUUGAAGUUCCUGAACAGUGUGGGCUGACGGUGAUGUCACAUGAAAUAUCUGUCCUCCUUGAAUUAGAUAGCAAUUCAUUCAACUUAUUUGGAGAAGCCCCUUGAAGAGAUGGUUGCCCUCCAAAAGCACCAUCCCAGUGACAAUAUGAUGGAACUAUAACUUUAGUACCCUCGCAAACUUUACUAAGUGCUAGUCGACGAUCUUUUCUUCUCACAUUCUCAUGAGAUUGGGCCACAUGUGAUCUCUUCCUUUUCAGGGAUGAAAAAGAAUCUUUGCUGCUCUUUAUUGAACUCAAACUAGAAAAUCCAUCAUAAAUGUCUGACUUGCUAAGUGAAGCAUUGUCAGGAAGGCCUAGCUCAGUGGACCAUCCUGUGCUAGCAUGCACAUUAGGCUUUCUAUUGGAUACAACCCCCAAACCUAUUUCCUGAAGAUCUCUCAUUCGUUUUAUUCCUUCGUUAUCUUCUGAAUCAUUUGGAGUUUUCCUUCUUUUUUUUUCUGAUUGCUUAAUAUCAGGAGAAAUCAGAUCGUUUGUUUGUUCAUAUGACACUAAAGAUUGAGAUACCUCUUGAGCCGAAUUCUCCUCAAGAACAUCGAGUUUCCUGGCCACAUGACCUAAUUGUUUGUCAAGCCCAUAUACCUUUCUUGACUUCAUGGGAAAAUCAUAACCCAUUGUUCUGAAAGGGUCCUUCACUCCUGAGCCAUUCUGCUUCCCAGUAAGGAAGUAAGCCUUUUCAAUCUCCAGGGCAUGGAGAAUGGCAUCUUCUCUGCGAAUGUACUUCCCUGUACUGGUUGAACUUUUCUUUGAACGGAUUGCAAAAGCCAUGGCCUUCUGAAUGCACUCAUCAAACUCCCCACAACGAAAUGCUUUGACACGAGUUGAUUUUGCAAGAUUAUACCAGUCCCUGAUUGCAAGUUGAUUAUUAGCAAACUUAAGCUUAUACUGACUGCAUGGUACUUAAACCAUGAAAUAGAAAGGUGAACAGAUAUAGCAUAUGUGCAUAUAGCUACUUUGCUCAGAUUUUGUAACCGCAUAAUUCAAGAUACAGAAAAUCAUGCACCAAACAUAAAUAAACGAAAGAAGGCACAAUCAGUAUCAUUGUUGUUGCCAUGUUCCUUGUUAUUUUCCAAGAUGUCACUGAGCAACUUAGGUUGGCCUUGAUGCACAACUGUUAAGUCAAUAAGGCUCCAUGGAAGGUUUGAGUUGCCUUUUUUUUAUAGCUCUCUGUCUAAAGUUGACUAAAAAAUUACCAUCAAAUCCCAGCCAAAAUAGAAGUAGUGGCAGCAAAUGAACUCAUUUUACAUCCCUUGUCUUUAAAGCCAGCUGAAACAAUGGUGUGAGGUAGAAUUAAAAAAAAAAAAGACAAUGAUCCAUAUGGUUCAUGUUAACAGAAUCGGCUACUAAUAAGUGUUCAGUGUUAAAUCUUAUCAUCUGAUCUUCAGUGGAUAUGAGAAUAGAAAAAAAAGAAAAUCUGUAACCAAAUACAAAACAGAACAUCAUUCAAGAUACGAAGAAUAUUCAGGCCACUUAAAAUAGGCAGAAGAAGGGGAUCUACAGAUGAGGAUACUCACAUGCUCCCAUCUUCUCUACCAAGAAGCUUGAUGGGAGUCCCUGAUCUCGGCGGAAGCACACAUUUCGCUGGCAAUUCAUCCCGACCAACAACCCGGCCCGGCCACCAUGACCCGUUAGGGCGACGCACCCACACGAGGCCCCCAGCCGACACAUUGUUGCUGCUCAAAAUCCCAUCUUGUUCACUGCCCAUAGAAAAAGAACUCGAAUCCACCAAAUCAAGAAUCACACGAUGUCGUACUGCUCCACCUACAAAGGGAACCGACGAAGCAAAACAAGAACAAGAAGAAACUGUUAGGUUACUGAACCACUCAUGCAUGGGUUUCUUGAACCAUCAGCCCAAAACUCGUUGGAGAAGGAUUAAAAAUGAAAGAUAAGAAUGGGGGAAUAUACUCCAUUAUGCAUUAGAGGAGGGGGAGAGGGGGUUGGGAGAGAGGGAAAUCCUAGAACAGAUGCUGCUACCUCGAAUAACCAAGAAAACAGAAGAGAUAUGCGAAGUGAACAAGGAAGAAACUUUCAAAGAGCACUAAAAACUCUUCGAUAGAAGAAGAAAGGCAACGAAACAAACCAAAGGAAAUAAAAGAGACGAGCUAUUCUUCGACGGAGAGGAAAGAGGGAAAGGAGGCUCUCCCCGGCAGAGGAGAAACAAGGACCAAAGGGACCAAAAAAACUGAAAAAAGAUGAUUAAAAACGAGAAUAAGAAUCAAGGACGGGGAGAUGAUUUCCAUCUGCACCUCUCCUACCUCUUCUUUCGGGUUCGUCGCUAUAGAAAGCGGCUCGAUCUUGUUUUCUCCAUUACACUUAGUUGCCGGGACAGCUGCGGAAGAGAAGGUUGGUGGGAGCGGAGAUGUCUGCAAUGGCAGAGAAGGGAGGAGAGAGCAGUGUUGGGAUGCGUUUCCUUUAGGAAGAGGUGGAGAGGAGGAGGAGGAGCGACAGACGGCGAAGCGAGUGAGGAAGGAGGGGGCGAGAGAGAGAGAGAGACAGAGAGACAAAAGUGCGAGCAGGAAGCAGCGCAUCCGGCGCAGGGAUUAGUACGAGUUGGGCUUUGGCCCGGCCAAAUGGGACUCGGUGCUGGUAUCUUCAGGACUCGAGUGACGCAGGAAGACGAAAGAACGACAUCGGCGGACACACAUGGCGACGAGCUGCUCAUCACCGAUGAUCCCGUUCUUAAUCCAACUGUGCCUACCGUUCACAUACCAAUUAUUCAUAAACAAACGACAAAGAUCUUAACAGCCGUCAAAGAAAAAUAGGGUUUCGACUCUCAUUUCGUUUAGAUAUUAGUUUUCAGAGAAAGAACAAAAAAAAAAAAAAAGAAGCCAUCUGUAGCCGAUCUCACUGUCAUAAUGUUUUAUUAUUAUUAUUUUUUUUCUUCUAUCAAAAUUUCAUUUGAUUUUAUUAUUUUAAAUUGAUCAACGAAACGGUCCGACCAUAACCUUUCAUUUCAUGGUCAGGACAUACAUAUAUAUUCAGUAAUUUAACGUCCAAAACUUGAGCAGCAACCAUGAACACAUCUAAAUUCCAAGAUGAUACAAGGAAAAGCAACAACCAUGAACACAUCAAGAGUUUCAACACAAUGUUGUUUACCAAUAUCGCAUCAAUACCAAUCCCAAAUAUUUAAACCUCAUCUUUAUGCAUGUUUUCGCUGAACCCAUAAGUACUUCGUCACGCCUCAAGUGCUUCAAAACAAAGAUAAAAGGAUUCCUCGCAGGAGCAAUGUCGCCAAUAAUAUAUGAUCAAAGAAAUGAGAGCGUAUCAUGUAUAAAACGCAAAUAUCACUCGAUCAACUCGUAAAAAUGGCACCAAAAAGGAGAAAGUAGCACAUUUGUGGAAGCUAUUUACCAAACAAUAACCAGGAUAUUUUAGGUCCCGUAACAAAUAAAAGUCAUCUGUACUCCAGAUUUAACAGUACAAGUCCUCUUGAUCUUUUUCUGUGUUCCACAUGUCAAACCACUCUGGCUUUAUACACGCAGAUGUAUGCCAUGUGCCAAUCACCUGCCAGAAAUGUUCAACUUCGUUUGAGCAAAAGUCCAACAACAACAAAAAAGUUCAAUAAUUCUCUCUUUUAAGUGUCUUACCACCGCCAGAUAGUUUUGUAAUAUCUUCUUCCCUUUGUGGGAUUGGAUUGUCAUCAUCAUAUUGAAUCCAUUUUCCUGCAUCAUCAGCAGUUUUCACGAUAAGAAACGAAAUGAAUGACAAAGGGCAAGCAAAGGAAUAUCUAAGCCUAUUAGACAGACCAUUUUCUUGUUUCACCCAGGCAACGUAGUGCCCAGAGUCAGCACUCCUUCCCUUGUGAGUAAGCACAGCUACCAAAUCAUAAAUUCCAGUUAACUGCCCCUUAUCUUCAGAAGAUACAGCUGUCGACAUCAGAGCAAAGAAAAUAAGCGACUUUGAUCUAAAUUGGUAGGUAUCAUCCCCUGUAAUUUCAUAGUUCAUAUAAAAGUCAGGCAUCUUGUGAAUUUAUCGAUUGGUGGUGUUUACUUAUGUAAUGAUUCAUGAAUCUGUAAGUUAUCAAGUUCCUUAACCUGGACGAACAAACUAUGCUUAUUGCUGUGUAACAUGGAGGAGAUAUUAGGGGUAUCAUCCUCAGAUGGAGCCAUGACCUGUGGAGUCUUUUAAUUAGUCUUCCCAUGGUUUAAACAUGAGGAAACAGCAAAGAACAAACAAAUGCAUGCAAAGCAUUUCCCCCCUUCCCUUCCUUUUUAAUGUUCUAUGUAAAUUUAGCUGCAUCGUUUCAAUGUUCUGUGUAAAUUUGGCAGCACUCUGUCUAGUUUUUUUCGAGAGAAGCAAUACUGAUAAGCACCUCUCAUAAAUGAAAGGACAGAAAAUUGAAAGAGAAUAAAAAUAAAAAGUAUGGAGGUUGGGUAGGGAAAACAAAUGGAAUUUAUAACAUGCAUUACAAUAAUGAAAAGAAAUCUAGGAAACCAACAACAUGAUAACUUGUUGGUUGCCAAUCCUUCAUACGCAAGGGUCUUGUAUACACAGAUGCAUUAGGGUGCAGGUGUAGAUAAUAAGCGGAUGAGCUAUGAUCCACAUCAGUGAGCACCAGACAUGAUCUUUGUUCAGUAGAAAGAGGAUCCAUGGUGAAAACCAUAAAGAAGUUUCUCAACUUGUGUUCGGAAAAAAGAUACCAUAGGACACCCAGUAUUUUGCAAUACUUCUCAACUCUAAAGAAGUAUGCACUGAAAGUUCUUAAUUUUGCAAUACCACAAAAGACGCCCAGUAUGUUCAUCCCGACCACAAAAUUGUCAUAAACACACAUCCCACACCCCCACCCAAAAAAAUGAAAAAUUGAUGCACCUAAUGAACCAACACAAAUCAUGAUUCCAAUACACCCAUAUAUCCAUCUGAACACAGUAUGUGGUGUGCUAUGUAUAUGAGAUUUCACUAAAGUUUGAUGAUGCUGAAUUCAGACACCAUAAUAUUGAUUGGAAAGAAGGGGAUCGUAAAAGAACCAAACCUGAAAUGCAGUUAGACCACUAAAUGGGCCAAACUAAGGACAGAAUCAUACAUGUCAGGCCCAAGUCAGAUGCAGGUCAGCCUGUACCAAAAACCCUAACCCUACCCUUGGUCAUCAGAGAAAGGAAGAAUACAAGUUCAUCUGAUGAACUUCGGAGGCAAAUGAUAUGUCAACAAUUAUAAGCAUUUGAGAUAGUCAUGAAGGAUGUUAUCAAUCAUAAAUAGGGCUUAAAUUGUUGACAAUGAAAUGCGUUGAGAAGCAUGAUUAAGAUGGCAAUUGGGAAAUACAGAAAACACAAGAAACAUCAUACUAUUAUAAAUUAAUGCCUUCGAGCUGCAAGCAAAUAAUUGGGAUGCAAGACCACUGUGAUGGAGAGUGAUAUCCGACUACACGACCUUUUGUUAAACUCUACAUGGACCUUCAUACAUCAACAAUAACUAUCAAUUACCUUUGUCAAGAGCCAUGCUAGAUGGUUCACUACUAUCAUUAGAUGACCCCUGCAGAACAUUCAAGAAAACAAAGAAAAAGAGAAUAGAGUUAAGCAAGUGAAGCAAGUGAAGCAACUUAUUCUAGCACAUAUUUACAAUAAACCAGCCUCUUCAUAAAUAUUUGUGAUGCUAAAAUGACUUCUUGACACUGUGUCACUUCUCAGAAGGCCUUAGCAUUACUACCUAAAUGCUGCUAUGAUUACUAUUUUGCAAUCUAUAAGGUGGGUACCAUAUCCAAUUUUAGUAUCAGUUGAGAAGCUGCUAAGCCUAAUUAGCACCUUGUUACCGCUUGUCCGAUCCAACUCAGUGAGUUCAAUGACAAUAGAUUCCAACCUUUAUACUUACUAUUCAAUACCAAAAGAACUGCAGGUCUAAUCAACAAUAUAUAUGCAAUUUAUAUAUGUUCAAUGAUUAUUGGGCUCACCUAAUCAUUGAUUUACAUACCAAAAGAAAGAGGGCUGUCUUGAUUUACAUACCUCUGAUGUAGGCAUGUUGACUUCAUGUUCCUUCUUCUUGUCUUCUACUUUUAAUCCAAGCUUGACAUUUUCUAACUCUCGUAGUGUCUUAUCCAUGUCAAUUGAGCAAAUCACGGGUAAAUUAUAAGAAUAUCAGUAAAAUAUUGUAAUUUUCCGUCAAACUAAAGGGCACAAAAGAAAGGUGGGCAAAACCUGACGAGGAGUCUGAAGCUUUUGACGAAGUUCAUCUGAACAGAACUCAUAAACAUCAAGUUCCAAAGGAUAAUCCACUUUCUGAAAAAAAAAAAGGGAAACAAAAUAAGCUUCCAUGUCCAUGGCAAGGACCACUGAAACUCUUGAUAGUUAUUGCCAGAUUCAAAUCAUUUAACAAACAUACACAAAAGAAAAAAGAAUAUCACAUGAAUUCACCUAUAAAAUUUACAAAGGAAAGCGGCACUCCAAAGAUACACGAUAAAGUAUAAAACUAACAUACCCGCAAUAUUUUUGCCUUCUGGUUAGACUCCCUUUUCCAGAAGAAACGAACAAACUGAACAGUCAGAUACCUGAGAAGGAAAUCAAAUAAGAACCAUCUUCAAAACAAUGAACAAUCAAGUCCCGGAGAAGGAAAUCAAAUAAAUAACCAUUUCGAGAAAAAAUAUUAAAACUAUUUUUAGAAGAAAAAAACCACUUUAAAAUUUUAUAAAAGAAACAAAAAAAGUGAAAAAACUAGACUUGCCUGGGCAAUUCACUAAUGCAUGAUUCUUUUGAAAAAACUGCACUGCGUCCCAAAGAAGUAGACAUCUUCUCUAGUUCUGACUUUAGGCCCUGAAGUGAACAAAAAGCACUGUGAACAUCAGAUAAUGAACAUCCAACACAAACAUAGACACAUAGACACCUAACUAAUAUAUAUUCUAGAAUUUGGCUUUUAUUUGGUAUAGCUAUAAAAUAUUUUAUAUAAAUUUCCAAAAAAGCUUAUGACUAAUGACACUUACACGUCUGAGCCCCUCAUGCAAGUGGUUGAUAUCCUGCGAGAUAUGGCAUUUUAGUGCAUAAACCGAUUCAUUCUCAAAGCUUUCUUCACUGCUUUCUGCACAAUAGACCCUGGAAUAGAUAAUAAAAUGUCAAACAAUUCGUCAUCAAAAUCCAGUGAAAUAAGCAGAUAAUAACCAAAAUGGCAUUUUAAUUUAAAGAUGGAUGUUCCACACCAAACCCCACAUGAGUGGGAAAGGUGCAUUCGACCGUCCAUUUGUUGCACAUCCAAGUUCAAUAUCAUGAGAACAACAGAAAAGAAAUAUUUUGGAAAACAAAACACCUCAGACACAAAGUCCAACUCAAGAUUGCUUUGUUAACUAUCUUCUUUUAUUUAAUAUGUUGCAUAAAACAUAUACAAGGAUGCACUGGUACAAAUAUUAUUCUACCCAGGAUUUGCCACCCAAGUAAUGCCCUCAUAUCUCUUCCUUGUUGGCAUGAUGCAUCCCGUAUAUCAUGUCCUGGGCUGGCAUGUUAGUCAUCUGUUUCUGCCAACAGUCAGUGGAUAACAUUUUGGUAAAUCCAGCUUUAGAAGAUGAAUUUUCAUAAACUAAUGGGUUCUAAUUUGUUUUAUUCUAAUGUACAAAAGUUUUAGACCUUGCACGCUUAUGUCAAAAUGUAAGAAUUCAUUAACAAUUUUGAUUUUCAGGUUUGAAUAAUUAACAAAAAAACAAUACCUACCAGAUAAUCUCAAUUAGUUCAUGAUAUUCUUCAGUAAAAUGUAUUUAAUUUUUGAUAAAUGGACAAUUUAAUAAACCUAAGUCUUGAAACUCAAACAUCAUUUAAAGUUGUUGUAAAUCAAGCAAUGAAGCAAGAUUAAAUUUUCUAUCAAUGAAAAACAGAAUUAUGGAUCAACCAUUUAGUUUGUUUUUCCUAUGGCAAGGACCAAGAUUAGCAGGAUUGCAAGUGAAUCUAGAAGACACCAUUUGAUAUGACACAAAGCCUAUUAGGAACCCUUGCUACAAUCAACAUUUUUAUUUCACAAUUGCUUCAUUAUUUAUAAAUUUAGUUUAAUUUUUCAAUAAUAUUAAACACUCUUAUAUGCAAGGUAUGCAAUAUCAUACCGUACCGGUGUUUCAAGGUUGGCUCGAUACAGUACGGUACCGGCAUACCGAGCUGUACAUCAUGGCAUACCGAGCAGUACAUCAGGACUUACCGAGCGAUUUCCUCUUACUAUAUCACUGUAGCAUUGCUACAGUGUAGCACUGUAGCACUGCUACAGUGUAGCACGGUCUGUCCGGUAACGGGCGAUCCGCGUACCGGUAUACUGUCGGACCGGUACGUACCACCCGUAUCGAACAGUACCAUUCAAAAUUACAUACCAUGCUUAUAUGUGCUUGCAUGGAUAAAACAUAUUUGUUCAAAGCUUAUUUUAUAAUUUUUUCAGCAAGGAAACAAAGAUUUGAAAGCAUCUUUCACCACAAAAGAAGUGAGUUAUGAUAAAAAACAGAAUGUAGAAUUCACCUUUCAUUUUGAAAUUACAUAAUUUUUCUUGAAAUUCAUAUUCAUUAAUAUAAGAGGCUUCUUUUUCUAUCCUCUAAAGGAAACUAGACAACAAGUUACUGAAGACACCUUAUUUAGACAACACAAUUUAUGAAAAAACAUGAGCUGUUCAUUGAAACGUACAACUGUACAUGUGAAAAAUCAUGCAUAUGUUGUUGGAUCAGCAAAGUAAUAUCUAGCAAUGGGGUUAUUUGUGAAACAAAAAAAGUCCCAUGCUAACCCAUCAAGACUGUAAUUAACUUCUAUUCAUUUUAACCACAAUAACAAUAUCAUAGUAGGUUUGGUACAUGCAUGGACUAGACCAAUCCAAACUUAAACCCAUCAGAAAUUUUCAAGGGGCUUGAAAUGAGCUUUUAUGAGCAUGGUUCAGAGUGCGGUAGGGAUCCUCUAACUUCACUUAAAUGUUAAGACUCGAAUGAGAAGUACAUCCCAGUUACAUUGACAAACACCCAGUCAAAUGCAACCAAGAUUGAUAUUUUUUAUCCAUAAUUGGUUGGAUGAUGUUGAGAUGGUAGUUUGACCAAGUAAAAGGGUUGGUUGCUGAUGGAAAGAGCAAUUUUAGUUUAGAACCAGUCAAGGUGGUGGGUUCUGACUGUAUAAUAAAUCAGGUGAGUAAAAAGCAAUUUUCAAUAAGAAUAUGGAUUUAUCUCAUGCUCCUGUUUUGAAUAAACAGACCUGGUGUAUAUAAUAGCUGAUAUCCAAUAGCUUUAGCAUUGUUAUGACGAAAUCAACCCCUUAGGUGGAAACUGUCACGGCUUAAUUAGUCCCACACAGAGUAUGGAUGGUGGGAUGGGCAUUGGGUUGAUCUAAAAUCCUUAAUAGGCUUACAGCUACUAACUUGGGGAUAUAUAUUUUGGCCACCUGAUUUAGGACAUGUACAUCCAGGUUAUUAGUCAUAUGUACCUAUCAACAUAGCCUCUUAACUUUAGCCUCCAUAAACCUUAUCCCUAAUCUGGCAAAAAGAUCAACGUGCACCCUCCCAACCCCUGAAAAUCUAAUAUCUGCCAGUGAGCUUUCCAUCUCCGGCUCCUCCAUGAUGCAUGCUUUACCUCAACUUACUAGUUUUCCCAGGUAGCCUUCAUCCCUACCCCUCCCUGUCAUGUUCUCUGUCUCUUUAUUCUCACUCCCAUCCACUUCCCCUCAAUGAAACCAAUACUAGAGUCCGAGGCAUGUCAAUAUAUAUCCAUGGACAGCAUAUGACAAAAUCUAUUAUAACUUUUGCCUCAUUCCAUUGACAAAUUAAAGCUAGUUUUUUUUUAAAAUAAAUAUGGGAUAUCUGUGGGGCAGAAAUUUGGUGCUACGAAUUAUUACAACUAAAUUUGCACUGGUCAGAUAUAAUUAUGAUGCAUAAGGAACAAUUAAUCUAGAUAGACCAAACCGAGAUACAACCUCCGCCUGAAAUUCAUUUGGGUUGGAUUCAGGGCAAACACACCAGAUCAGGUCAUGGGAAACAUUGUAAAACCCGACUUAGGGUUAAGAAAUAUAACCCAACCAAAUAUGCCCAAAUAGUAAUUCCAAUGUCAAAUAAUCAACAAUGAUAAUGCUGAAGCAACGUGUAUCUGUACCUGUUGACAAGGCCAACACCAAAGAGUGCCUUCACUGUCGCAGAUGCUUCACUGAAUAGUAUUAACGAGAAGAUACACAUGUUUAGAUCACGAAAAUCAAAUUACAUGAUUACACAAAACUUAAAUUACUAUACAAAAAAGAAAAACAAACUACAAUGGCAAACAACAAAAGAGCCUAAAAUGUUGAUUGACUGAGAAUACCUGGCAGAAUUCUGAGAGCUUCAUCAACACAAGAUUUUUUAAAAAAAAUACAAAUUCCAUGAGGCAGUUGCAGGUUAAUGACCACGUUCCUAGUGUUAAAAAGUUUUCCACAAUACUAUGCAACAUGAUUCAUUGUGAAAUGCAAUGCAUGAAAUGUGAGUGGCUGCAAGCAUAGCAAAAGGGCACACGCCGAUGCACAAAUAAUUUCCUGCAGUCUUCCAGAGUGAGACACAGGAUGCAGUGUAGUUUGCACCAUCAUGAUCACAAAUGAACUCACUAACUUCAGUAAGCAUGUGCCAGCAUGGCAUGUUGCUUACAUUGCCAACCCAUUGACAGUAGCAUGGCAUGUUGCUUUCACUGCCAACCCAUUACCAGUAGCAUGCCAUGUAAUGGCUCAAUCAAAUCAACAGAACUAAAAACACUGCCAAUGGAUUAGGAUCGGCAUAAGGUCUUUCUAAAUUUCCUUAUCUCUUCGCUGAAUUAGUUCAAGAAGAAACUGACAUCUAGAGAAGAGUAGGUGCUAGCAGCUUUAGUUAUGCUAAAAAAACUAGCCAAUAUUUUGUCUUAUAGAGUUUUGACAAAUUAAGAAUGAGAGUUUAAAUACCCAAGAAAACAAGAUCAAACAGAGAUGACAGUUACCAAAGGACUAAAACUUCAAAAAAGAAGAGAUUAGGAUUUUCCACGAAGGACUAAAAGCUUUAACACAGAGAUACUAGUCAUCAGAGGACUAUUCUAGUAGAAACAUUCUGUUCAAAGUGCCUUAGAUUGAUUACUCAAGGAUGGGACAACAGGUGCUUGCAUACUACUGUAGCCAGCUAAUGUCGUGGCAUCGAAAAGACAGUUACCAAAGGACUAAAACUUCAAAAAAGAAGAGAUUAGGAUUUUCCACGAAGGACUAAAAGCUUUAACACAGAGAUACUAGUCAUCAGAGGACUAUUCUAGUAGAAACAUUCUGUUCAAAGUGCCUUAGAUUGAUUACUCAAGGAUGGGACAACAGGUGCUUGCAUACUACUGUAGCCAGCUAAUGUCGUGGCAUCGAAAAGACUACUAUUGUAGCAGCAAGUUGUCUAUUAUCAUUUUUAGUGUCAUAUAGUUUAUUGCACAAAUACAAGGAAAUACAAGGGCCACUAUGAAUAAAGAGUGAUCAAACAAAGAAAACAAAGAAUAUUCUAAAAAGGAAGAGAAUGAAUAAGAUGAAUAAAAAAACAUGGUCUUGACUAAUAAGCAAAUAACACAAUUUUAAUGUAAGUGCAGAUAUCAUACAAGGCAAUUCAAUUAUAGCAUAGGAUAACUAUAGGUAGCAUCUACAUAAGACAACAGUCUUAAGUCAUGUGUUUCCUAAUUUUUUAUAUUAAUUGAUGAAAUUUUGUCCUUUCUGUAGUGGUUACAUUAAAGAGUAUCUAGUCUUAUUUGGAAUUGUAUUUCUUACUAGGGUCAUAUUUAAGGUAUUAAUUAGAUUAUGAUGCCAAGAAUUGUGUCAUGAGUUUCUGGCAACAUCAGUAUUGUUUGCUGGAUGAGUCAGGAGAGCCAACCACAAGACAAAGAAAUAGGAGGAAAGAAAAGAAAUGGCUGAUGCCUAAACCCCCCUUCUCCUCUAGGUUAGCCUUUCACUAGUAGGAGCAGAACUUUGUAGGAACUUGGUAUCUUUAAUAUUUAUGAACUACAAAAAAGUUGUGCAUGUAGACAGAUGUGGUCUACACAAGCCUUGAAUCAUCCAUUUUGCCUCAUGUGGGGUAAGUCCAACAAAUAAAUGGUGAUUUACAAUUUACUAAAGGGUUAUAUUCAGCCUCUUGUAUGCUGAUAGUAGCGAUUCUUCUCUAUCAGUGAAAAGGCACCUUUUUCUUUCUCAUUUUUGGUCCACUCUCUACCUCUCUCCUUUGUCUGAAUAUAAAAAAUGAUUUAUUUGUUUUACAUUAAUUUCCUAGAAGUGAUCCUUGUAAUCAACCAUUUAUUGUCUAUUGUAAGAAUGGAGCUUGAUCUUGAAUUCAUUAAUAUUUUCUAGCAAACAAAAACCUAGCAGUGAUUCUAAAGGUUCAAGAAGCAAUAGAUUUUCUUCCAAAAGAGUAAGACAACCAUUUCAUCAUUGUUGAAUAUCAUAUACUAGGAAUGCAUCAGAUUUACAUGGUCCUGGAAUUAUUAGUUCCAAAUAGAGAACUUUUAUGAUAUCCGAUAAACAACAUAUAAAGGAAAAUCAAAAUAAAUAACGCAAGCUACUUGCUAGAAUUGAACUACUACUAAGAGGCCAAGAACCAAAUGAAAGAAAGCACCUGGAAUCUGAUGAUCUAAGAGAUUGAGAAAGUGUGUACAUAAGCUGGGUCCAACAUUCUUCAGCAUCCUGCAAUAAGGAACAGAACAACAUUUUCCAACAUUCAUCAUGAAGGAGAUGCAAACAAAAUACAAGAAAACAUAUAAAAACAUAAAACUGAAAAUAAAAACCUGCUGCAUGUAACCACCGUUAUGCUGCUGGGCAAACUGAGGAUACUUUUUACGUAAAAUCUGUUCCCAAAAGAUAUAACAAUGAAAUUAAUGUCUUAGUGAAACAAUAUAAUAAAAUAUCUCCAUUAUUUUCUACAUAAUCUGCAAGGAAAAGAUAAUAUCAAAUCAGUAAUUUCAAUAGGCGCUCGAGCGAGGCGAGGCGAAGCCCGAGCGCCUUGCUUCAUUUUCAAGCGACGCGCUUCAAAGAGGUGCUGCUUAGGCGCUCGCCCGAGCCCAGUCGUCGGGCGCUUCGAGCGAGCGCCUGGGUUAAACCAAGCGACCGAACCAACGUUUUAGGUCUGGUUCGAUCUCCGGUGCUUUAGUUGGUUCAAUCGAACCAACUAAAGCACCGAUAUUAGCGCGACUUCCCAAACCCUAACCCUGCUCACCGUUCACGAUGCCGCUCCCGCUACUCAUUGUUGCCACUGCCACUGUCGCCGCUCUCACCGUCGCUGCCGUUGCUCGCUGCUACCGCCGCCACUAUCGUCGUUCCCGCUCCCGCUGUUGCUGCUCGCUGCUACCGUUGCCAGUGUCUCCGCUCGUCGCUCCCGCUGCUCGCUGCUAUCGUUGCCAUUGUCGCUGCUACCGCUGCCACUGUCGCCACUCCCGCUGCCACUGUCGCUGCUUACCGCUAUCGCUGCAACUGUCGUCGCUCCCGCUCCCGUUGCUCGCUGCUACCACUCCCGUUGCCACUGUCAUCGCUCGCCGCUCCUGCUCCCAUUGUCGCUUCUCGCUGCUACCGCUGCCACUGCCACUAUCAUCGCUCACCUCUCCCGCUCCCACUAUCGUUGCUCACUGCUUCCUCUUCUCACAUCGACUCGAUAGUAUACUAUUAACAGUAUAUUAACAGUAUACCAUUAACUAUAUACUAAUAACAAUAUUUUUUUAUUUAUUAGAUUAAUAAUAUAUUAUUUUGAUUUUAAUACUGUUAAUUUUUAUUUAUUCAAAAUUAUUGUUAUUGUUUUGAAUUUUGAGAUUUUUUUGUUAAUGUGAUAUUGUGAUUUUGUAAGAUUUUUAAAAUUUAAUAUCAUAUUUUUAUUUAAAUAAUUAUAUUUAUUAAUUAUAUUAUAUAUUUUUAUAUUUUAACACCUCGUUUCGCUCGCGUGACCGCCUAGCGCCUCGGGCGUUUUUGGACCUUGGCGCCUUUCGGCGCCUAGCGUUUUUUAAAUCACUUUAUCAAAUUCAGAUGAUGAGACAUCUCCAAGCAAAAGAAUAAUUAUAAAUGUUCUGUUAAGCCUAUGUUAUGACCAUAUUUCUAUCUUGGUUGAGAACAUACAAGGAUUUAAUGCACCAUAGUUGCCACAUAGUGAUAGCCUACAAAAUGGGUGAAAACCCAGGUCAAUCACAAAAGCAAGUCAUUUAAUCCCUUCUAAUCAGAUACUAAUGACAGUUUCUACUAUGCUUUAAAUCAUUUCAAUCUACAUUGACUCUUAUAGUAGUAAAAUUGACUUUAGAAAGCAGUCAAAAGAUAUACUUAAGCUAUCAAAAGCAAUUAAACUCAAAUUUAAAAAAUAAUCCAAGUACGCAUAUCGACAUUAUGACAAAAGCCAACCUACAUAUAUGGAUUUGUGUAUUACAUAGACAUAUAUUUGACAUUUUCAUAAAUGAAUUCAGUUAUUCAAACAUACAAAUGGACUUUUUUUUCUAUCGUGCAACUUGCACCCUAGGACAUCCCUCAAGAGAUGUUUUUAUCAACUUGAUACAACAUCAGAACCGUUAAUGUAAAUAUCAAGGAUCACGACGUUCUUUAUCCAUAGCAUAUCUGUGCAUAAUUUCAUCAGAACCACAAAGAAACUCGCAAGUUCUUGAUUGUCAUUUUAUAUCACUUUAUUGUAUCUUUCUUCUUCCUUCAAUCAUAUCCUUCAUCUAUUCAUUGUGCAGAUCCUCUCAAGUAUAAUGUGAAUCCAUUUUAUCCAACAAUUCAUGUCAAUCGGUGAUAAGAAGACUUGACGACUAGUAACUACAUGUAUGUAUGUGUAUAUGUGUAUGUGUGUGUGUGUAUAUAUAUAUAUAUAUAUAUAUCCCAUUUUCAGCUAACCUGCUCACCACCUGCCUUGUGAUUGGAGAUAGCAAUGAUUCAGAGGUUGGCUUUGCAUGGAUCCAUUUGCUACCUUCCAAUGGGUGAGGCAGGCAAGCCCAAAAUGGGGCUCCUCUUUGGUACACCAGCCCCACAGAAGAAAGUGUCGCCCAGUUGCCUCAGAAAUAAUAGGAGAUAGAGGCUUUCCUUUCCUGUUAAACCACAACCAAUGACGUUUGCUUUGUUGACCAUACAUAAAUGGAAGUCUCACCUCUUCUGAUAUCAUCUCAAAAGGUUAAGAAUUCAGACAUAGUUUGCAAAAUUACUUACAUUCUUAUUUAAUUUAAUCAGGCUAAUUUCAGUCGAUAUAACAUGAGAUGACUAAUCCAUGGUGAUUAUAUUUGAGCUACUAUAAAUAUUUUUUUUUCAAUGCAGAUUGAUAUUCUAUGAAUAGUCAGUCAUUUUACUGUAGGUUUGUACCUUUAAUCCAACAUGCUCAUCCUACAGUUUUGUUGGUUUAUAAAAACAUCUCUCAAGCAUCAAUUAGAUGUGUGCAUCUUUUUUUUGUUUAUAUAUGGAUGAGAACACAUCAACUAAAAACCUGGUCAUAAAUUAUUAUUUUAAAAAUGUGAAAGUUCUAUAUCCCCCCCCCCCCAACAGGGACUACCAGUAAACAGAACUCUUUAGCACCUUAUUAAUCUACCUUUCUAUAAGCAAGUCUUAUCAGGCAAUUGACAAUUAAACCAAUAUAUAACUAACACAGCUAGCUAACAGAACAAGCAAACAACCAUAUUUUAAAAUUCACAGGUAACUGCAAAGAAUCCAUAAGGUGAAAAGAAGAAUGUUAGCCAAACAAAGCCAACUCCAAUAAUAUAAUGAUCAAUCUCAAGAACUUCAAGAGGUUUAGAGAACCAACCGACAAAAACUGUAAUGGUGCAACAGGCCUCACAUUCCUAUCGAGUUCGCCAAAAAGAUCUCGAGUUGCGACGGUCAGAAGGUGUGAGUACUGAUCUAGCUCAUUAUUUCUUCCUGAGUUGGUGUAACUGCUUGUGAACAACAAAUUCAAGAACAUGUUACACUUGUCAUGUGGGAAACCAUUAGAAUGCACCGACUAGCGCCUACAAAUUAUUCAUAUAAAUCAGAAUAAGGAUUCAAUCACAUUCACCUCAACAGCGCUGACUUCAACUCCGGAACCGAAUGAAGACAUUGCAAUGUAGAGUUCAUGUAACACGUGUUUCCCAAAUUAUAUAGACCAGCACUGUGACCCUGUUGGUAUAUAGAUCAGCCACUAUUUCAAAUGUUAAUAAACAUGGUAAGAGAACCCAACAGCUACUGUAUGAUGUUCUCAUAAUCAUAAAAUGAUUAUCCCAAAAUCUAGAAAAAAUAUUUGAGGAAUAUACCUACCUUUCCACUUCAAUAAACAUUGCAGGCAAAAGACAUGGAAAAGAAUAACUAGCAUCUUGGGCUUUUAGAAAACACUGAACAUCCACAAGAAUUGACACUUUUCAUUUGUCAAAGUGCCAUCACAGGGUCUAAUAUAGUCGGUUGUUUAAGAAACAUAACUAGUGAAUUCAACAUUACAUAAACAACAAUGAGUGCUAGUCACUGAUCUACAUGGCAUGGAAUAUGCAUUGUAUUGUCUGUACUAAUCUCUUGUCAGUCACAUGUCAUAACUGAUAUCCUAGGUACCAUUGGCACAGUAGACACACGAAGCAAAGAGAAUUUAAUGCUCUGUUUGGAUAAUAAUUUAUGGAGAGAAGAGAAGUAAAGAGAAAGGGGAGGGAAGGAUAAACAUAGAAAGAAGCAUACUUUCUGUUCCUCUGUUUAGAUUUAGGGAAUAGAAGGGAAAACAGGGAAAAUGAUCCUUAGCGAUUCACUUGUCGCUACUUCCUUCCAGAUCUCAGAUUUUCGAAAAAAAGCUAAAAAGGCUCCUACUUAUUUCAACCAAAAUCAGGAUAAUCCACUUCUCACCAAUUUUGUUCUCUCCUCUCCAACGCUCUUUAUUCAAAUAGGCCCUAAAUCCAAAGUCCCCAAAAAACCACAAUUGCCUUACAUGUAAAGUCCAUUACUAACUUCUGAAAUUUUGAAAUCUGACCUAUUGAAAGUCAAAUCAAUGUUAAUCCAACAUUACACACACACACACACCUUCUUGUCCAUAGUUGGUAUCAAAAUACCAACCUUCUUGUCCAUAGUUUUACAUACUUACGGUUCACAAUUAUCCAAUCAGAUGGCUGAUUCAGAUCUGGGUCUGAAUUGAUUGGUUAGUCAGCUUCAACUCAGAUUGGUUAGUCAGCUUCAACUCAUACCUAACAAAUCUAACCAAAAUCCUGACGAAUCCAACCCCUUAUGGCAGUUCCAGAUAUUUCCCAUAUAUUACAUGUAUAAGCAUCAUGCAAGUUUAUGUCAAUUUUGGAACUCUAAAAACCCCACACAAUUCCUAAUGCAUCAUAGCAAACUGCACGAUCUUUAUAAUUAUAAAUGAUAAGAUAAAGCCUCACCACAGCUACUACUUGUUCUUCUUCUGGCAAAUCCUCCAUAAAUACGGGACCUUUCUCUGGAGCUUUCACUAUCUCAUCAGCUGUGCCCAUCAUCAUCAACUUUUGCCCCUGUUGAAUAAUUACAAACUUCAUAUAUUGUAUUCAUAAGAUAUAAAAAGAUCAUCAGAAGUAAAGAAAAGAACACCUCUUUGACACCUAGAGUUGCCCAAUCUGCAUCAUCCUACAUGAAAGAAAAGUAGUCUUUACGAAUUCAGAACUCUAACUCCAAGAUAAAAUUCUUAAAAAGUUGCAUGACAAGCACAAAAAGGAUAAUAAAUCUUCAUAAAAUGGAAGUUCAUAUACCUUCAAAAGACCACCCUUGACCAUAAUUUUUUGCCGCUCAGGAGGUACACCAGUCAAAGCAUACAAUUGACAUUUAAAUACAAGAGGAGGUUGGCUGGUGUCGAUUUCCACAGAUGGAAAGACUUCUUUUUGCCAUUUGACACUAACUGUAUCACAAAAAGCAUCAUAAAUACUCCACAAUACACUAUCACAAAUUGUAUUAGGAAACAAUUAAAUUAGUUGGCAUUAAAUUGUAAAUCAGAAAAAAGAGAACAUUUCAAUUAGAAAUGACAUAUAAUUUGUACCACAGGAAUUAAAGGACCAAUAUAACCAUUCAUAUGACAACAUAACCAACAAAGACACAAGAUGGUCAGUACUUUAUUCUUUUUUUUACUUGGAAGACCAAAAAGGAGCGUUCUUAGUGAUGACAGUAAACACAAUUACUCCACAAAAGAAAUUUAUAAUUAUGACAGAUACUGAUGAGCUGAGAACCUGGUGAUACAAGAUAAAAGAAUCACUCUUAAAUGUCCUACUCACAGUAGGCAAAGAAAUUUCCUUGAAACUAAUUGAUGACCCAUGCCAUAAACAAGUUGUUUUUCAGUUUUUAUCAUAUUCUGAAGAUAACACGUUUUUAGGGAGGAUGUAAUUAUUUUAAAGGUUUAAAAUACAAAAGGAUCUUUUGGCAAGACAACAAGGAAAUGCAACACCUUUAGAAAGGUCGCAGCAUGCUUCAACAAAUGGCUAAAUAUCAGUAUAGAACAAAACGCGUAGGGAAAUUGGGAUACGAACAGUUUGCACAUCAAUGACUUUGAUACAUAUUAUACAUUAUGGUGAUAUAUUACAAACGCAUGCCACCUCUUCACAAUCUAUAUCACUAUAUCUUUGGUACAGCAAACCACAUACCAUCUGAGCUGAUCAAAAUUACAAGACUUUUGAUGGUUAAAACCACAUAAACUUAUUCUCGUUCAUUUCACUUACGAUAAGCAUGCAAAACCGAAGCUAAAACGGGUGAAAAGUAUAACAUUAUUUCACCUAAUCCAUAUCCAAGCACGAUCCGGAAAUUAUCAACUUUUUGGGUGGCAAGACACGACAAAUACAUUAUAUAUAUAUAUAUAAAUAUAAAUAUAUUUAUUUAUUUAUUUAUUUUCUCGAUUCGAGACCACGUUAAGCUCCAAGAAAAACCAUGGUUAAAGCAACCGAAUGAAAAGAAACAAUACUAAAACCUAACUCUGGCAGGACAUUCGUCAAAGAAGGAAAAAUCAACACAGGCAACGAACAAAUUGAGCAAUGAACUAAGCUUUUACGAAAUCUCAUCGUCGUUCAUGGAGAUCGAAUCACUUGACAAUCUCCGGUGACAAAUCGGGAGUAAAGCGGUUUGAGGCAGGCAAUUAUUCCUACCAGUCGGCAUGCUCGACGAAUCGCAACUGCUGUCCUCGAAUCGCGGGGCGGCGGCGGUGGAGGAGGAGAAGGAGGAAAGGUAAUGGGAGAGAGAGGAGAGGAGGGUUUUCUUGGGCGAGAGAGGAGAGACCAAAAGAGUAGGGAGUCGGCGAUCGAGAGAAGAAACGAGUCGGGCGCUCCCCCAACAUCGAUCGACAUAUAAAGAGGUGCGCGGCGACGGGGUACCACGGUGUGGGUCGCGCACGGAACGCUACGAUGUGCCGUCCCACCCUGGUCGCGUUCUUUCCAUCCGCACCGUUGAUUCUUCCCCUUUACUCCGAUCGUGCGGUGCAUAUGAGUUCAUUCUUUGGACCUUUCGGUUCUUCAGAUUGACUCAGGGUCGGACCGCACCCGAAUUGGUCGGACACGGCAAGGAAAACGGUGGAACUGACCGUGAUGUGUGAUUCGCGAAAAGUUUGGGAAUCGGGUUGAUUACGUCCAUUCACCAAAAAUUAGUAGUUCCCUAUAAAGUUAAUGCAAAAGGUUAAAACGAGUUUUAAGUAAAUUGUAAAGCUAUAAAGAGGGGGGAAAAAAUCUAAAACAUAAAUUAAAAUGAAAGGAAAUAAGUCACAUCAUAUGGUGACUCUUUAAGUCCUUGUGAUGUUACAAUCUCCAUUUGUGGCAUGAUCGUACCAUACGAUUUAUGCUUCUCCAUUCAUCACAGCAUGUUUGUGCAGAUUUAGCAUUUCCGAUUUCAUGCCAACACAACAGUGACUUUUCCUUCCACCAUCCUCGGUAUUCACGGGCUCUUCCAGAGUUGAAGUUCAAUGAUUCAUGUAAUGUAGAAUGUUGUCAGGAGAAAGCUUGCUGGUUCAGCGGCAGCCUCAGCAACAGAUCUUCUUUCUGUUGUAAAGUGUGUACAUUUCGCUUCACCAACAGAUCUUCUUUCUGUUUGUUACAUUGUAAGAAUAAUAUCACAGGUGCAGCGAUGCAAAUGCUAGACAUUUUACUGUGCUUUCAGAUUCAAAAGUCGGAACAUCACACAGUUUCUUAAUCCAUCUAAUGAUGGUCUUUCUUACAUGAUAUCUGUCGAAUUGAAAAAUUAUCAUCCUGUGAGGUGAUGAUUUACAUCAACUGAUUCACUUAGCCACUGUCAUGAGCAGAGAAUAACAGCCAAAGGCAGGACUAUCAUCCUUACAAAAUUGCUUUGCGGAGAUCGUUAUCACUUACAUGUAUUCAGAUGAUUCAAGUUGACCGGAAAACCAUCACCUUGACCAAAAAAUAUAUUAGAUGAGGAAAUUCCUAAACGCGGAAAUCACUCUAGGUGACAGCAAUAGCACAAAUGCAAAGAUUGACCCGAAAAACAAGUUGAUGGCAUAUUGAACAAGAUCUGUCUCGGUCUCGGGCUCUGAGGAUGUUCUCUUUGCAUUUGAUACAGAUGCAGAUGGGAGGGCUUCUAUAACGGCAUCUGCAAGAUCUGAGAUGAAGGAAGAAGUGCAACCCAGAGCUGGUACCCUACCCCAGUUCUCAAUGCCCGACUGCAGAGCCAAGUGCUUGUACUCCAUAUCAAUCUCUUCCAGAGUUUCAAUAUGUUCACUCACAAAGCUGGGAGAUGAUGGCACAGGAAAAAUCCAAAUUGUGGUCAGUGAAAAACACAAAAAUCAAGUGCAUGCCAGUUAAACAUCCUUCACCAAUAUAGACAUAAAAUCAUGUACGACAACUUAGCACAUGAAUUCCUCCUGGCAACCCAAGUAUAGAUGGGAUAGAAUAGGCUUGAUCUCCAAAGAUGGCAAUGGAGAACUAGUUUGAGCAAGAGCAUGGACCCUCAAGCUUUGCUUCUUGUUGAGGCAGGAGUUUAUGAUGAUUUAAAAAGGUCAUCCAGGAAAAUGAAGCAACUGCUCAACAAUUCCUUAAUCAAUAUAGACAUAAAAUCAUGAACCAAAAGAAGCUUCUUGUUUAUUCUAGCAAGAUAAACAAUAUAAGUUGUUUUAGCAUAUGAAAGUGUCCCAAAUUAUUUAAUAUAUAAAUAUUCAACAUAUUCUUAAGUGUAUAAUUUAGCAUAUGUGUACCAUGGGGCAGGUCAUAAAAGCCAAAGUUUGCCACCAGAAACGUACCAUUAUGCAAUGCUGUAAUAAUGGGCUGUUACUAGGAAUCCACUAACAACAUGAAUUGCUGCUAAAACACUGAUUGAAUUCAGCUCAAUCUGAAAAGGAUUCGCAGGCUGAUGGUCAACAAAUUGACAAGUUACCUUACAGGGACUGCGAGAAGGCUCUUUACACCUUUCUGACCAAGCUCGACAAUCACUUCAUCAGUAUAAGGCUUUAACCACUGAACAGGCCCAACUCGGCUCUGCAAGGAGUUCAAGAAAAUGAUAAACUCUUCUGGAAACUACAGGAUCAAGCAAUGCGAGUCAAUGAAACAGAAGGAUUUAUAUAAAGAACAUGGAGAUUUUAGUAAAAGAUGCACAAUAAAUUUGGAGCAUUUGUAAAACCCUGUACCUGAUAAGCAAGAGUGUGCUGGUUAACAAUUCCUCUAUAUUUCAACUCAGCCAUGAUCAAGGAGAUACACUCCUCCAUCUGAUCUUUGUAUGGAUCUCCUGCAUCCUGAACAUAGCUAAGUGGAACUCCAUGUGCGCUAAAGAAUAUCAUAACCUACCAUCAUAAGCAAAGGGAAACAGAAGAUUUAAAUGAGAACAUGAGACAUGUCCAACACAAAAGUAUCAAGAAAAAUAGCUUAGCUUCUCUGGUAACUAAACCAAUUAUAAUGAAUAUGGAGCAAAGGAACAUCAAUUACUGCAGUGCACUAAUCCUUAAAGCAAAAAAACUGUAUCUUCUAAAAUCCAUUUAGGUAAAGCUUAAAUUUUAGCCAUCUUGUCACAAACUUUGUGACCUAGUAAUUAGCUUGACUUAUUUUUCCAACUAUCCCCGAAUGAAUAUGUAGGUUAUUGUAUCCAUUGUAAAAAUCAUUUGACGGCAACAGCAGUCCCUAAUUCUAAUAUGACCUUUAUGCCUAGUUUUGGAUCCACAAAUUGUGUUUCUUCUCCGAGUGUCUCAUCAAGUUAACUUUGUCUCAUCAUGCCAAAGGCUUGCCAAAAGCAUGUUUGGUGGACUUUAUUAUCAAUGCCAACUAGAAGAAAUAAGAAAUGGAAAAAGAGAAGGGCACAGACACCACCAUGGCACCAUGCCAUCAUCCUUAGGUCUCGCUUACAACCCCCACCCCCCGCCCAAAAAAAAAAAGGGUUUGUUGGUUUAACAAGCAAAUUCCAUUGCUCUACAUCUCGACUCCAUUAGUUAUGCAGCUUAGCAAGAUGCAACCAUACAAAUUCUAAGCAAACUGGAACAAAGAUGCGGUGGUAGACAUGACACAUGACACUACAAGGGAAAUCACCAUACCAUGUGGAAUAAUUAACAGUAGAGAAAAGCACUUUAACAUAAAUCAUACAAUUAAUAGUAAAUAGAAAUUACCUCCUCAGGCUUAGAAAAACUUAGUAGCUCAUUUUCUAUCAAAUCAGCCAUUGAUUUGAUGUAACCUUCACGUUGAUACCAUGACUCGAUAAUAGAAAUUGGCAAGCUUGCAAAAUAAGCAUCUUCCCUGCAAUGUGAUUAAUAUCCAGUAAGCUUUAUUAAAAAAUAAUUAAUCGCAAAUUAGUUGAGAAUUCAGAGGUUUCAUAGAAAAGAAAGAGAAAUUACUAACUACCUGAUAAUACUCUGUAGAACACGGAUACUAGAACCACUAGUGGAUAUAGAGAAUUGAGGAUAAAGUGGCAGCACAACAAGCUUUGUUAUUUUAUCCUUCUUUAUCUGUAAUUAUAUGGAUAAGUAGUCAGUGUAGCCACGUAAGUCAAGAGUACACAAACUAAACAAGCACAUUUCAAGCAAGUAGCACUCCACAUUCUCCAAAUAGCAUUUCGGUUCUUCUAAUUGUACAAAUAAAAUAUAUGCAGAUUGAGGACAAAUCAAGCUGUUAUUAUUUCUAGUAUAGUAGUUUGCAUAAUGUUAUAAUUUAUUUGCUGUUAAUAUUUCUAGUAUAGUAAUUUGCAGACUGUUAUAGUUCAUUUGUCUCUAAGCCACUGAAGCUCUGCAAAGUGUGUGAAAUUUGACAAAAAAAUGGAGAAACAAGAAGCAGUUUGGUUUGACUAUAAAAAUUACAAGGAUGCAUAGCUGCAGGUUUGAACAACUACUGCAUCAAAGAAAGCAACUACAAAAUAAUAAGAGGUACAGCAGACAGCUACAGAUUGAAGGCAUGUUAUAUUAAGCACUGAGCAAGUUGUUGCUGGGUAGCAGUAAAGUGUAAUUACAAACCUGAUGAAGAGCCUCCUCAGUGAAAGGGUGCCAGUACCGCAUACCAACAUAUACAUUGGCAUGCAAAUCCUUGUCUUUGAGGGCCAGUUUCAGUGCUUGUGCCUGAAAUUUUUUUUCAUUGAGUCAGCUUGUCAGCAGCAGCUUUUUUCCAAAUGAAACAUGAGAAGGAAAGACAUAAGAGAGUUUGUUAUUCUCAUUCAAUAAAACCCCACUAAAAUCGUAACUUGGAUAUAUUGAGUAAAUCACUAUGCCACGGUGAGAGUGAAGAAAUAUAUCCCAGGAAAAGAAAAAGGAACACUACUAAAUCAAAUUACAAACCUGUUCAUCAGUUAUCCUCCGUAAUGGUGAUCCACCACCAAUUGCAGCAUAACCCUCCUUACUUUUUGGAGCUCUGACAACUGAUAUUAACUUGGCCAGUGGUCGCUGGAGAAAUCGGAAUAGUCUAGGAAGCCGUAUUAUGUCCUAUUAUGAAGGAGGAAAAGAUAUCUUAAGUAAAACAACUGAAAACUAAAAAAAACUACAAUUAAGAAUAUAUAUGUUUAGUGCACCAUAAAGAAAAUAUUCAUAAAAAUUAUCCCAAGCAUCGAAUAAAUUGGGAAUGACAUGUAUAUACACAUAAUAUGUAUAUAUACAUUAGUAGUAUCACAUGUGUAAUUUGAUAAUUGGACCAUUCGAGAUUAUGUUUGUGUCAGUGCACCAACUAUUGGAUGUUGCCAGCAUUCCCUGCAAUAAAAAAAUUGUCACUUAUAUGUCAAGUAAGAAGACAGUGAAUCUUGGCACCACACUGAGGUUGCUCUUACAAGAAGCUGGUCAAGAUUUUGGAGUGUUGCUGCUUUUUCAACAUUCACACACGUUAUGGAACAAGGCAAACUAAAUGGAUUAAAAAAAUCUUCAUAUACAAGUGCGAAUUGGCAAAUCAAUAGUUUAUUUUCUCACAUUCUUGCUUCAUCAAAAAGCUUAAAUAGAAUAUAUCAAUCUGAUUGUUGCAAUAAACUAGUUAAGAAAGGAACCAAAAGAACAUGUAAACGGGUGGAACAAGACAAGCAUUUCUGUUCAUUGCUCAUAUAUCAAAAUAUGACGAACUUACUGGAUCAGCAAAUAAAUUGAACAGGAAUGGUUGAACAUCAUUCAGGGUCUCUGGACCUCCAAGGUUCAACAGUAGUAUGCCAACCCUUUCAUGUGCAUGACUUGAAGAAAUGCUGAGAAAAUUUGUAUCAUGCGUGCAUGCCUCUGCAGAACAAUUAAGCCUCCCAAGAUUAUGCUUUUUGACUGGCAUAUGUAUAGAUUUGGCAAAAUUCCCCUUGCUAACAUCAGAUGUAGGAUUAGAAAGCACCGAUAAACUCAGUGAUUCAUCAGUUCCUUGAGGGCCAUUAUGCGAGGAAUGGGAGGAGCAUUUGACAUAGCAUACCGAGGUACCUCCCUUGUGCCUUGAUCUGAAAUAGAAUUGGCUUUGAGCUCUACCAUAUGCAAGAAUGCAUCGAGAUAUGUAAUUGAUGAACAUGUGAUCCGUCAACUUCAGUUACAAAUUGAUCGAUUACAGAUCUAAAACAAAAACUUCAUUUUGACGUUGGGUUCAUCCUCAGAUCAUCUGUCAAAUAACAAAAGAAAAUGGAAAAACAACACUCACGAAUACAGAGAGCCGAUACUUCUCCGACUCCUAAAAUCAAGGAGUUUGGUCUGAGAAACAGCAGAAUUCGCAGCUUCCAUGCUCUCAGAAAAGCAAUCCGGUGUUCCGAUCCUAGAGGAGAAAUUUUGAGAACAAAAUUAGAAUCCAAAAGCAUGGAUGAUCGACCAUAUCAGAAAACAGGCAAGUAAACUUAUGGCAGGUUCUCAUCAAAAAAUCACAUCUAAGAUGAACAGAUCAAGAUCAUGUCUAAUCGUCAAGCGUGGAAUCGACUCGCAGAGUCUUGUCUCCCGUCAAGGCAUUCCUCAGCAGAUUGUAAAACAUAUAUUCAUUAACUUGUAUUACAAACAAAUAGAGUCCGACACAUGAUACACGGCAAUUUUAUGGCUACAACACAAUGGUUAGUCGCCAAGACUGGCUUAUGUAUCGUAAAUCGGACUGUUGCACACCCACCCUAAACAAAGGGAUCGAACAAGAACGAGCUCGAGGCAAAAGACACCAAAAGUCGAUGCGGCUCAAGAAGAAACGGAGAUCGAAGAAGACGCACCUUGUAGUCAGAGCCAAUGGUUCAAGAUCUCCAAGAAUCACGGAAUAGAAGAGUUGGAUCGACUCUUCUUGUGGGGUUAGGGCUGAUCGUCGAAGAAGAAGGAAAAGCAAUGGGGAGCAGAAGGAGGCGGCGACGGGGGCAGCGAGACGAGAAAGGAAAGGAAACGGCAGAAGCGCCGUUGGGUGCUUACUUCCUUCCGGUCAAAUAUGGCGGACGAAGACUCGCUCCCUCGCUCGUCCCUGUGUUGCCCACCUAACGACGACGAUCCAAACCCAAAGGACGUCACGCGGAAGAAAAAGCAUCUCUUCAUCUACCCCUCUCCGAUUACCCGCAUACCCAAGCUUCACUGAAGUAGCGUGGGGCCCAAGAGAAAGCUACGGUGAAAGCCGCCGAUCCUCCGAUCACGACGCAGGUCAUUGUUGUUCGGGGACUGAUCGACGUAUUCGUGGUGUGAUGGAACCUCCGGUUCGUUCCUCGCUUGCUGAUGAGUAUUUGCGUCAAAACAGCGAACAGCGUAGCGAGGAUUUUAACCGGAGGGCUCCCUGGGGGCCCACCUAUCUCAACGUGUCCCGGGACCCAUCCAAACACGCGUCAUCGCCUAACUCCUCUCGACGAACGACCAAUGAAACGAGUACACCUUUCGCCUACUUGCCUGCGUGACUUAGAAUUGUACGAUCCAUGUGGGUCCCACUUUACGGCUUAGUCCACCAUCCAAUAGCAACGUAGGUGGGGGACACGAGUACGACAAAUAAAUUAGGUUACCGAUUCUUCACCCGCAUACACGUAUACAUAAAUAAAUAUCCACUACGCCGUAGAUUAGCCGUCCAAGUGUCCAAGGGAUCAGAUGUUAUAUAUGUAUAUUUAUUUUUUAUUAUGUUAUAAUAUGAUAUGAAUAUAUAAUAUAUUAUAUUAGACUUCGAACACGAUGAGAUCUAAAGAAUAACAUCAUUGAGAAUUUUAGAAAAGACAUAUUAUUUUAUCUCAUGAAUCUCUAUCAAUCUUUGUUCUACGAAGAAAAUAUGAUAAUCAUCCUAAGCAUUAAUUCCUACAAAAACAUAAUAAAUUUUAUCAUCAGCCACCAUCGUCAUCAUAUAUAACUAUCUAGUAAUGACCAUUAUCACUAUUAUAUAUGACCACCAGUGAAAUUGCAAUACCAUCUCAUGUAUUUUCUAAGUUCUUUGACUUCUUCACCUAUCAUUACAAUUUAUUUUCGCUAACAUAACACACCUACAGCCUUAUAUGUUAUUAAUAAGAGAGGUAUGUGUCGUAAUAUUUAAUAAUUCAGAUAAUCAUUUAAGUUCAGAUAAUUUGUUUAAUAUUUUAAUAUUUUUUUAUAAAAAUAAUUAUUUACUAUGUAUCAAUAGAUAUAUAAAUCAAGUAUAAAAAGUUAUAAUACCCUCAUCGAACUCCCGUACAUGUAGUACUUUACAUGUGUUAAUAUAAAAUUUUCAUUCUAACUUAAGAGUGCAGGAACGACUUUGUUAGAUGAAAGCAUGGCUCUAUUAUUGCAACAGGUGAAUGGAGUCUAUUUUUUAUUAUCAACAUCAAUCUGGAUUUAAGUUGAUUUCAUAAUACUCAUUUCACAUGUCAUGCAAUCAGAUAUUAGUCUUAGGGGAUUUUGUCGAGUCAACUUGUCAUCAUCCUAACAUCAUUAUAUCUAGAAAGUAUAGAAGUAUCCUAAGUGACUUCAAAGAAGCUCCAAGGUGAUUCCGAUAUUAGGGUUUAGCUUUUGAAGUGUCACAUAUACUAAGAUCGAUGUCAGAAGAAGUUUCUUGACUCGAUCCCUCCGACGUUUAAGUUAGUCCAAGAUCUUUUUAGGGUAUUAGUUUUUCUCAAAAAGAGAAUCCCUUGGCACAAUACCGAAGAUUAACUUUUAUACUUGGUCUUAAUGUCCUCCUUUGAUGUUUUGCCUACAUGGGCAAUGGGGAGGGGGAGAUGGGCCGAAACGGUCUCCCUUAAACUAUCAUCAAAGGGACAAACAAGUAAAGGAUGGAUAAGACAUUCUCUUUCCAUAUUAGUCUCCACAUAGCAAUAAAUAUAUUAAGCUAUUGUGUGAAUAUAUAUAUAUAUAUAUAUAUAUAUAUAUAUAUAUAUAUAUAUAUAUAUAUAGUACAUGAGUAAUUUUGAAUUUUAGAUUAAACAUGUUGAAAUAAAUUAUUUCUAUAAGAGUUUUUAUAAAUGUAUGUUAGUUUUCUAGUAACUUUAUUAUUCUAGUUAAGUGUCAAAUAAAUAAGUAGCCUAAGAAUACCUAAAUUAUUUAUCGUUGGAUAUUUUAAAAUCUUAUCAUAUAAUUAUUUUCAUUGGUUUGCAUUGUACUAAUAAAAAUUAUUGAUAAUAGGAUGGAAACUGAGGCUAAUGCGAAGUGAAUGUACCUUAAUAAUUAUUUUCAUUGGUUUGCCUUAAUAAUUAACUUAUGAGUAAUAGGUAGAUUUGACCAAUAAUUACAAUUCUACCUUGGGCGAAGUCAAUUUGCCUUCGCGCCUUACUCUCUACCUAGCAAAAAAAAUGAGGCUAAUGCAAACUAUGAGAAGGCUUUACUCGUUCUUAUUUAGUUAUAUCUCGAAAAUAUAUUCAAUUUGGGAAAUAUGGUAAUUGUCUUUCAGAUAUGCUUUAUUGAGAUCAAUAUAAUCAAUACAUAUUCUUUAAUUUUUAUUGGAUUUUUUAACUAAUACAAUAUUAGCAAGCCACUAUAGAUACUGCAUUUCGAUAAUAAACAUUGCCCCUGACAACUUGUUCACUUCAUCACUAAUCGUCUACUAGCAUUUGAGAUUGAACUUACAAGGCUUUUGUCUCUCGGGUCAAACGUCGGGGGAGAUGUUCAAGUGAUGUUAGAUCACGUUAGGGUCUAUUCUUGACAUUUCUCUCGAUGACCAUGCGAACACCUUGACGUUUUUCCUAAGAAAGUCAAUGAGUUGCACUCGCUUCUCUUAGAGAAGUGUCACCUCAUUCUUGACGACUCGAUCAGGAUAGCCCUUGUCUAGAGGUUCCUCGAUCAGUGACUCUAUUAGCUCCGGAUGUAGGAGGGACUUUGCAAAAUCCUAGGGGUCCAACGGUAAACUCUUGGGUUGUACCCUUUUUGAUAGGGAGACUAUUGCUAUAUAGCACUAGCUAGACUCCUUCGAAUUACUCCUUAGCUCCCCAAUGUUAGUUUUUGUUACGAAUUUCAUUACCGUGUGAUAUGUAGACACCAUAACUCUUAGUUUUUUGAGUGUGGAUCGGUCUAUAAUUGCAUUGUACACUAAGGGGAUAUCAACCAUCAUGAAUUUGGUCAUCACCAUUUUAGAAUAGGGUUUAUCACUAAAUAUGAUGUGCAAGCUCAUGAUCCCAAGAGGGGAGAUGAAGUUGCUCGUGAAUCCCAUCAUCGAAGAAAUCAUAAGAAUAAGUUCAUUAGCUAAAAGCCUAAGUUUUUUAAAAGCAUCAAAGUAGAGAAUGUCAGCGGAUCCACCUAUGUGAUCAUUACCCUCUUAUGGAGACCACCAAGACAUCAUCAUAAUUUGGGUCAAAGUACUUCAUCUCUUCCUCUAAGAUUAUUUCUAACUUAUAUUCUAACCUCGGGCACUUCUCGACAGUGGCUUGGGCAUACGCUUUGUGACCCGAGGAGCUAUCUUCUACUGAAAUAGAUCUAUCAAUGAUAACAUCAAUUUGUCUCUUUAUUGGGCCCUAAGGUUGGGGCGAAGGUUCUCGAGAUCUCCGAACGAAUCUCUCAAGGUUCCCUUGACAAAAUGAGCUCCUCGAUUUGUUCAUUUGAAAUUAUAACAAUCUUCUAUGUCAUGACCAUAGUAAUAGUGGAAGCGGUAGUACUUGGAUAUGUCCCUCAUUUCCAACGAUGUCUUCAUUGGUUGAGAGUCCCUUAAAAAUCCUUUUUCCUUUAUCUAUAAGAAUAUCUUAAUUCUCAUCAUGUUAAGGGGUGUCAACUUAGACCUCGAGCAAGGUAGCUUAAGACGGUCUUAUUUUCUUCACCGAGUUAACCUCAAGGUUGGAGCUAAUGGUGGUCGCUCAUGCCACGGCCUCUUGCGCAUCUCCUCAUGCUUAAUUGAGACUAUCACCUCCGCAAUUAUAUAUUGGUUAGCCUUUUAAAGGACCUCGGGCGUGGUCAUCGAUGACUUCACUAAUGACUAGAAAGGCCAACAAGGCCUGAAUCAUGAGUGACGAAUGAACUUCUUACACGUCUCGGAUUUUGCUUGUGAAUCAAAUGACCAAAUUAGAGAGUGUCUCUUCCUCCCUUUGCUUAUAUUUGAGCAACAUUAUCACCGAGGCCCUCAGGCAUAUAUUUCCAAGGAAGUAGAGUUUGAACUCCUUUACGAGCUAAGUGAAUGAACUGACCAAGAGUGGCUUUAAGUAAGUGUACCACUCAUACACUAGGCCUCUCAAUAUUGUUGGCAGUGCGGAACACAUUAAUGCGUCCGAGAUGUUGUAGAGAGACAUUUGGGUCGAUCUUAUUUUCUUUAACGAGGUAACCUCGAGGUUGGAGCUCAUGGUGGUCACUCAUGCCAUGGUCUCUUGCACGUCUUUUCAUGCUUACUUGAGACCAUCACCUUUAUAAUUAUAUAUUAGUUGGCCCUCUAGAGGACCUCGGGCAUGGUCACCGAUGGCCUCUCCACUAAUAACUAAAAAAGUUGAGAGGUCCUAAGCCCCAUCAUGAAAGUUUGAAUCAUGAGUGACGAAUGAGUUUCUAACACACCUAGGAUUUCAUUAAUGAAUCGAGCGAUGAAGCUAGCGAGUGUCUCUUCCUCCCUUUGCUUGUGUUUGAGCAAUAUUGCUAUCGAGGGCCUCAGGCAUAUAUUCCCAAGGAAGUAGAGUUUGAACUCCUUUACAAGCUAAGUGAAGUAGCUAACUGAGAGUGGCUUCAAGUAAGUGUACCACUCCUGUGCUAAGCCUCUCAGCAUUGUUGGGAAUGUGUAGCACAUUAGAGCGUCUAAGGUGUCAUAGAGAGACAUUUAGGUCGAUCUUAUUUUCUUCACUAAGGUGACAUCGAGGUUGGAACUAAUUGUGGUCGCUUAUGCCAUGACAUCUUACCCAUAUCUUCACACUUAAGACCAUCACCUCUGUAGCUAUGUAUUGAUUUGCCCUCUAGAGGACCUCGGGCAUGGUCAUUGGUGACCACUCCACUAAUGACUAGAAAAAGGUAAGAGAGCCUGAGCCCCAUCAUGAAGGCUUGAAUCAUGAGUGACGAAUGAGUUUUUUGCAUGCCUUGGAUUUCGUUAGUAAAUCGAGUGACAAAGUUGGAGAGUGUCUCUUCCUCCCUUUGCCUUGUUUGAGCAAUAUUACCGCCGAGAGCCUCACGCAUAUAUUCCCGAGAAAAUAGAGUUUGAACUCCUUUGCAAGUUGAGCGAAGGAGUCGAUCGAGAGUGGCUUCAAGUGAGUGUACCACUCCCAUGCUAGGCCUCUCAGUGUUGUUGGGAAUGUGCAGCAUAUUAGAGUAUUUGAGUCAGUCUUAUUUUCUUCACUCAGGUGACCUCGAGGUUGGAGCUAAUGGUGGUCGCUUAUGCCACAACAUCUUAAGUAUCUCCUCAUACUUACUUGAGGCCUUUGUGACUAUAUAUUAGUUAGCUCUUUAGAAGACUGUAGGCAUGGUCACCGGUGGCCUCUCCACUAAUGACAUAAAAAAUGCGAGGGGGUUUGAGCCUCAUCAUGGAUGUUUGAAUCAUGAGUGACGAAUGAGUUUCUUGUAUGCCUCGGAUUUCGCUAGUGAAUCUCGUGAUGAAGUGGGAGAGUAUCUCUUCCUCCCUUUGCAUGUGUCUAAGUAAUAUUGUCGUUGAGGGCCUCGGGCAUAUAUUCAUGAGGAAGAAGAGUUUGAACUCCUUUGUGAGUUAAGUGAAUGAGCUAACCGAGAGCAGCUUCAAGCUAGUAUACCACUCCAGCACUAGGCCUCUCAACAUUGUUGGGAAUGCAUAGCAUAUCAAAGUAUUCGAGGUGUCAUAGAGAAACAUAUGGGCGUAAAAGACAGUAGUGUGUUCAACUGGGUAAGUAUUAUCAUCAAAAGCUUACAGCGAUAGAUGGUGGAAGUUGGUUGAGAUUGGUUCCUCUUGGAUGUUCUGGGUGAAUAGGGACCAACUCGAGAUAGGAUCAACCAUAUUAUCUCCCUUGGACUACUGAAACUCCUACCACAACUCGUUUAAGUGCUGGUCCAUUUGUUGCUAUUGGAUCCUCAGAGAGUCAUCCAUUGAAUCCACUCACUGGAUCGUAGAUUCAGGCAGAGCAUAGUAGUGGUGUGGCGGUGUACUGAACCCCACAGUCGGAGAGUUGGGCACUUCUUCAAUUGGCAGUUCUAUGGACCUUAAGUAAUCUUGAGAUGCUGGCAUUACAUUGAUGGGGGGAUCUCGAUGGGUGCCAAUGCUCAGGGUGGUUGAGGUGUCGACCAUGGCUAAGAUGAUGACACCAUUUGUUGGGCUAAUCAAGGCAGGAGUGAAGCGAUGGCUUGCAUCAUACCUAUGAGUGUCAGCACCUAAUGUGUGAGGUUCAGAAACACCUCAGUAGGAAUGAGCAAGUGACUCAAAUUUAUUCUUGGGGGUAAGAGGCUUGGGUUAUUGAAUAGACACUAAUACCUCACAUGUGUCUGUGCGGAGUGGACGUAUCCACAUGUGGGAAGGAGGGUAGUUGUCUCCAUUGAGUAAAAGUAUUAUGGGUUAGAGGUAAUGCCUUCUUGCUGAAGCAUUCGUUGAGUGGAUUGACGAGUGGAUGUUCUUACUGCUAGUCAUAGGUGCCCAGCAAGCCAAUCACGUGAGUGAUGGCACGUGUGACUUGAUACAGAAUCUUUUUGCUUAUUAUAUUUUGGCGUAUAUCACUUUAUAACUAUUGCAUAUGUGCAUAUAUAUAUUGUGAUGUCCUUGGAUUUGUGCAAUGGGAAUCGGAUCGUGAUGAGAUCACGAUAAUGAGAUCGAUUCACCUUUAAACACAUAUCCUAAAUAAUCCCGGUCAUAGGUUUCUCGAGAGGGACAUCGUGAUAACCGGAUAGACUGGUGUGCUGUAUACCCGUCCAUAUGAUGGAUGCAGCUGGUCUCAUAGCUGCUCGUGUAGAGACACUAGGGAUACAGUACAGGUGCUCAUUGGNNNNNNNNNNNNNNNNNNNNGCUCAUUGGAGAAUGAGUUCACUGAUUGAUCCGCUUACGGAAUGCUGGAUGGUUGAUGAUGCCUUAUUGUCAGACAGCGAUUCCGUAGUCCUAGUGGUGUAUCUGGUCCUUAGACUUGAGACACCAAGGAUGUCCUGUAUGAGUGCUCCACUCUUUGAUACCAGACUUAUAGGUUUGGCUGUCCCAGAUCUAGUACAGCUGGUCAUUGGGAGUGGUAGUCGACCUUACGAGGGCUAUUGAGUGUCGAUAGAGGAUCAUCCACUCUCGGCGUCUUGAGAGGAAUAUCCCAUGUGUUCUUGCUCAGACAAAUCCCUAGCCAGGGUCAUUCGGGUUGAGAGAGAAAGAGUUCUCCAGGAGAAUCCGAUUAGAGCGAGACUCGAGUAGAAACCGUAUGGGUCUGACAGCACCAUGCUCAAUAUAUGGUCUCUGGGAUAUUAGAUGGAUGAGGGACUAUAGGUACACGGUAACUGAGGACAGACAGGUCCAAUGGAUUGGAUUCCCUUGUAUCGUCUGGGGACUACGGCGUAAUGGCCUAGUACGUCCGUAGUCGAUGAGUUGAGUGAAUUAUUACAGAGAUAAUAAUUCACUGAGUUAGAAGGAGUUCUGACAGGUAUGACUCACGGCCAGCUCAAUAUUGGGCCUAGAGGGUCACACACAUAUGGUAGGCAUUGCGAUGAGUAGAGGUUCGGAUAUGAGAUAUCCGACGGAGCCCUUGUCUUAUUGGAUGCAGAUCCAAUACCCACUAGGGGAGGACCCAUUAGGGUUUGACAGGGGACCUCUAUAAAUAGGAGAGAUUCAGAGCCUCAUAGGCUAGAGCCUUUGCUUGCCUUUCCUAUUCUCCUCUUCCUCUCCACCUCAGAUCAGGCCUGGAGUUUUGAGGAGCGUCGUCGCAACCCUGCUGUGUGGAUCACCACUAGAGAGGAAGACGCUUGACCUCCUUUACCCUCUCCUAAGGAUCUGCAAGGAAAUAGGGAUAUACAAUCUCCCUAGGUAACACAAUCUACUCUAUACGCAGUUUCAUGUUUCGCGGAUUUUUGCGCACCAAUCUUCGCACGACGACGAACAUCUUUUUGGGAAUCGGGGAUUUUGUUUUCUUGUUCUUCCGUUGCGCAUGUGAUGUCGCCCCCAUGAUUCCCAACACUUACGACAUCAGACCUUCAUUCUAGCGCUAGAAUAGUAGGAGAUUUCGUAGUUGACAUUCAAGUCAACCUGAAGUUGUCUAAACCCGAAGGCGCAAGAGUGUCCUAAGUGGCUCUGAUAUGGGGGUCAAGCUUUUGAAACGCCGCUUACACCAAGGGUGAUGUUGAGAGAAGUUCCUAACCCAGUUCCUUCAACAUUUAAGUUAGUCCGAGAUCUUUUGUGGGGUAUGAGUUUUUUUUUUUCGAAAAGAGUCCCUUGACACGACGUUGGGAGUUAACUUUUAUAUUUGUUCUUGGGGGGAUAGCUCGUAACAGUUCCAACGUCUCCUUUUGACGUUUUGUCUACAUGAGCGACAUGGGAGAGACAAACUCGAAUGACCUCCUUAGAUUAUAGUCGACAGACAAGUGGAGAGUGACUAGGAUCUUCUAUUUUCACGCCACCCUUCACGUGAUGACAAAUGUCAUAUGAUAAUUGACCACAAAUAUUUUUCAUAUCAAUUAUCAAUACAAAUAUAAAAUUUAAACUAUUAAUCUAAGAUAAAAAAAUUAAAAUAUUCAAUUAAUAGGCUAUAUUGUGUGAAUACAUAUAUUACAUGAGUAAAUUUGAAUUUUAGAUUAAACAUUUUGAUAUAAAUUAUUUGUAUGAGAGUUUUUAUACACAUGUAUAUUAGUUCUCUAGUAACUAUAUUGUUCUAGUUAAGUGUAAAAUAAAUAAGUAGCCUAAGAAUACCUAAAUUAUUUAUCGUAUGAUGUUUCAAAAUCUCAUAAUAUAAUUAUUUUCAUUAGUUUGCAUUUUGCAUUAGAUUAAUAAAAAAAAUACUGAUAGUAGGAUGGGAAUAGAUAUCUAAUUAACUUAUGAGUGGUACGCGGAUUCGACCGAUCUAUUUUCCAACCAACAUUGGCUGCAAUUCUACAUUAGGCGAAGCGAUCCGUCCGGGUUAGAAGUUCCGAGCAAAUUCGAAUGUGACUCGUUCAUCAGGACAAUUAUUCGGGUCACAAAAAAUAAUGAAGCUAACGAAGCUGUGAAACAUAUCCCAACAUGGCCAGCAAUACAGUGGCUGACUCGUUAUUUAUUACGAGACCGGCUCUGCAACUUUGACUCGUGGAUGAACUGACUGGACUCUGCGUACGUCAGCUGCCACCAAACAUCUCCACAUCGACAGUACGCGGUCAUCAUGCCACGUGACGUUCUCGUGUCCGUUCGAUGGCCCCUUUGUUCGACUCAUGGACGGCAGAUGAGCCGACCGCUUCGUAAGUAGUAGUAUGCGGGUUAUUAGCACGUAAAGUCGAAGCGUUCCGAGCACUCCCGGUGAGGUGACGCGAGUAACGGAUGCCAUGACUAACUCCCUCGGCAGUGCCUGGCGGAUUAAAAGUUCUGUGAAAAAUGGAUAAACAGAUGGGUUUUUCUUUUCUUUCUGUUUUCUUGGUUUGUUAGAGCGCGCUCGAGCAUUGUGUUUGUCUUAAAACCGAAGGCGAUCGAAGCAAGGAGUAUCGAUCGAGCCCUAGAUCUCAUCCUAUUCUUUCGUUGUCGUUCUCCUCCUCCUCCUCCCUCGUGAUGCGGCCUUCGGUCUAGGGUUUGAUGCCGCCCUCGCCUCGGGAGUGCUUUGGAUGGACGAACCCUCUCCUUUCUCCUCCUGCUCCCUGUUGAUCGCCGCCGGAGCCACCGCCCUGUGCUGCAUCUUCGCCCUCUGGGCCCUCCGAUCGAACGCCGAAGGGGUCUUCCGGAGGCCCAGGAGGAAGAAGCUCUGCGGCUGCUCUUGUUCCUGCGGGGUUGCCGGGAGUACUGGUGGUGGGGAUUGCGACGCCCGCGGCGGCGACGGGGAUAUGGCGGUGAGGGAUAACAAGGUCGGCACGGCGGAGCGGCAGGCCGGCGGGUCGAUGAUGGAGCAGCUGGUGCCGGAGAUCACCACACACGCGCUCAGUUACCUCGACUAUACCAGCCUUUGCCGCCUCUCGAUGACUAACUCUGCGAUGAGGAGGGCUGCAAAUGACGAUGGCGCGUGGAAAGCACUCUACCACAAGGUAUCCCCUCCCGCCGCCUCUUUCUUGAUAUGGACAGUUGCUCCGAUUGACGCUGUUUCCUACAUGCGAGGGUUACUGCAAGUGUCAGGAGUUGUUUGAUAUUGUUGUAGUCGUGCAAUCUCAGUCACCUGAUGUUAAUUUCUGGUAGCAUUGCUCCUCUACGAUUGUCCCUUUCCCAGGAGAUUCUAAAUUUAUAGAAACCUCUAUUUGUGAAAUCUGAACACGACUUUACACGUCAAAUCGAAGCACAGAUGUGGUUUCAUGAAAAUACAUGUACAAUGAUGAUCAGUCGAAUUGUCAUUUCUAUCGCUAGUGAGGCACCAACUCAGGGAAAAUUCUUGAUUCUUGAAUAAGUUUGAUUCAGAAGCGGGAGAUUAAUGAUCAGUUGAGAAUUUAGGGGAACCAUUUUUGGUUCUUUCUUAAUAAGUUGAAACAAAAAAAUAAGAUAUAUCUUUUUCUGUGGCAUGACAAACUUUAGUUGAUCAAGGAUUGCUCUAUGACAAUUAUCGUGGAGACAGAUAUACCUGCAUCACAUCCAUGAUGACCCUAGUUUUGUAUAGAAUCUAAUUAGUGCAACAAUGGCGAUAGUAAGCAGAGCAAUGUUUAUAUUUCUUCACCAUGAAUUAUAUGUGAUAGACUUAAAACUAGUUCACAGGAGAUGAUCUCUUCGUUGUUACUGACCAACUUUUCAAGUGCUAAUGAUAUAGAUUUGUUAGUAGUAUUGCUUUUGUUCUUUUAGCAUGUUCAGAUGCCGGAAUGCCUAUUUGAUUAAUGUUAUUCUCUUGAAUACUUCUCAAUUAAAUUCAGGUGCUAGACUUUUUUUAGGACACAAAUUUGAUGUGAAAAGUUGAGGAUUAAGGAGAAGGGGAGAAAGUGAUUCUGUAAAAGAGGAGCAUAGGUGCUUGCUGCAAAAAUAAUAUGCUCUUCUCCGAAGAAAACAGACCAUCCAGCCUGACUGAAUUGCAUUCAACUAAAAAGGGUGUGAACCUGGCGCACAAGGUUCCUAUCAAUGUGGGAUUUGGGGGUGAUCAACGUGUGUGGUCUUCCCUCUAUAAACGAAGAGAUUAUUUCUGAUUCGGACCCUAGUUAUCUAGGUUGUAAAAUAUCAAUUACCAUUGUACUAAGGUCCACCCUCAAAAGGGAAACAAUAAUGUAUAGAAAUUUAUGUUAUGUCAUUGUUUUAAAUUGGAAUAACUAAAUUCAUGAACCCUGACACAUCUCUAUAAAUGAAGAGUUUAUUUUUGAUUCGGACCCUAGUUAUAUAGGUUGUAAAAUAUCAAUUACCAUUGUACUAAGGUCCGCCCUCAAAAGGGAAACAAUAAUGUAUAGAAAUUUAUGGUAUGUCAUUGUUUUAAAUUUGAAUAACUAAAUUCAUGAACCCUGACACAUAAUUCCAUCUGCUAGGCACAUUCAUAGUGAGCCAUGCUGUUAUUGUGUUAAGAUAUAUUUCAUUAAAUCAUUGACUAAUCAUAAAGGAAUUCUCAAAAAACAAAUGUCAUUAAUAAUUUAUUCAGUUUUAAUGGUCCAAAAUCAUAGAAGGAAUAGAUCUUAUGAACACAAUUAAACUUUAUGUUUUUAUUAUGAAGAACAACUUCAACUUCUAUAGAUUUGUAGUUCCCUUCUAAACCAUGGAUAAUUUUUUUUUAACUGAUUUAAUCUUUAAAAUUAACCUAAAAAUUCCAUUCAUCAAGGUAUCUGUCAGCAAAUGUGUUCAAAGAACUUUUUCCAUGCAGCAAGUCCAAGAACGACCAAACUUCUAAGUUAGAGUUCAAACCAGUUGAACCAGCAACAACAAAAUUUUCAAGAAUCCAACUAUAUGGUUGACAAAUUGAAAUUAUCCUAUAUGGGCAACAGUACUUGACUCACAUUGCUACGAGGGUUCUAGGGAUGAGAAGGAGCUCGAGAAUUUACCUAUUCGACAUGUAACAAUACUUUGAAGAUUUGAGGCUUGAUUAUAAAGAAACCAAAGUUUCAAUAGUAAUCGUGUAUCUGAAUGGGGGUACAAAAUUUUAGUGGCGAACACGUUGGGAAGAGAUCCAACAAGCUCUGUGUUGAGUGGACACAUAGGAGGACUUGAAGUGAGAGUUUAAAACCCAAUUCUUACCCGAGAACAUUGAGUUUGUCGCAAGAAUGAUGCUAAGACUACUUCGCCAAAGCACUUCCAUUUGGGACUACGUAAAGUAGUUAUCAGCACUGAUGCUAGACAUACAAGACAUGUUUGAGAAGGACAAUUUAGUUAGCCUCCUCAAUGGCUUGAACUCAUGGGCACAAUAGGAAUUGCAUUGAAGGAUUGCUAACGAUUUGGUCGGGGCAAUUGCAGUUGUAGAAAGGCUCAUCGACUUUGUUUCUUCGAAUGACUCGGGGAAGAAGAAACGAUUUUUGGGAAAUCGCUCGUCUAAGUAUCCCCGAGGGAAGGAGUCUGCAAUCGAGCAAAAGAAAAAAGAGUUCCUACAAAGGAUCGAGUUCAAAAUGUAAGGUCCCAAAAGCUGGCGGAUGUCUUUUGUGCAGAGGAUCGCACAUAGUGAGGAAGUGCCCACAAAAGCAAGCACUCAAUGCGUUGACAAUAUCAAUUCAUCCCCCCAGAUUGGAUAAGAGCAAGGUCGUCGUCGUCCUUAGUUCGAGUUGUUCGGGAUUCAACAGCAACGAUGAGGAGUUGUAAGGACCUUGGAUGAGAGCAAUAUGUUUGUUGAACGCGUUGCAGGGUCAAGUGGGGGGGGGGGGUGAACAUGAAGAUGAAGCAAUAAAAAGCACGGAGCCGAUGUACGUGGAUAUCAAGCUAAAUAACCAAACAACUCGUAUGAUAGUGGACACGAGUGCUAUCCACAAUUUCAUUACCAACCGAGAAGCAAGGCGACUCGGGUUGAACCUAGAGAAGAUCCAAGUCGGAUGAUGUAUGUGAACUCAGAGGCUAAGCAAAUCUCUGGGUUGGCAAAGGGGGGUCUCUAUCAAAAUCGACACGUGGAGCAGAAGCACAAACAUGAUGGCGGUGCCUCGGAUUAGGCGUCGACUAUCGUGCCCUAAACAAGGUGACAGUGAAGAACAAGUAUCCCAUUCUGCUUAUAAUAGACUUGUUCGACCUAUUGGGUAAGGCAAAGUAUUUCUCCAAACUUGACCUUUGGUUAGGGUACUGGCAGGCGCGCAUAGCUGAAGGAAACAAAGUAUUUCUCCUCUCUCUUUUCUCUCUUGCAUGCCAAGUGUUUGUUGAAUUGCUUAUAAAACUGUCAUCUUUGCAAAAUGUCGGGACUUAUCCGUCGCUCGUUUUCAGAACUAAUCAAUUUGCUCUUUUAUAGGUCAUUGGGGAUCUAAACAAUGUUGCAAUUAGGUUGAUCCUUUGCGGACGGAUAACACAAGAGUGCCUCACGACUUAGGCAAUUCUAGCCAAGUCUAUGCAAGUUUGUCGGUAACGAUCAAAAUUUGAUCGUUAUCUAUUGGUACAGGUCGGUAACGGUUGGAUUUUGAUUGUUUUGACUGGCACAAACCUUGUACCGGGCGACACGGGGGCAUUUAGCAUAUACCACCCGGUACAGGGUGGUCCGCAUACUAGUCCCUUAUCGGAUCGGUGUGCAUCGCCCGUACUGGGCGGUAUACCACAGCAUGACAAACCUCCUAUUGGUGAUAUAUUACAAGAAAGAAAAAUAGAGAAGAAUAAUGAAUAUUUUUUCACUAUAGUACAAAUUCAAAAGCAAACCCAUUAAGGAGACUGUGUUGUUGGCCUAAGGACAUAUGUAGUAAAAGAGAACCUGUAAGAACUGCUUUGUUUUUUUCCCAUUGGUGGUAACUAUUUUGGGGAGUGGUUAAUCUGCACAGACAGGUGAAAUCAAUCUGAUACACAGACAAUUCUGAUUUUUGUAAAUGAUUGUAUCAGUGGUUGGGAGACAGCAAGUUGGUCUUUAAAAUCCCAUUAUGGCUACAUUUAGAAGUGUUUAAAAAUAUGGGUUGUUGUUUUUAAACAUAGCUUAUGAGGAUUAUUUUCAAGGUGGUUUCAUGAGAUGAGAAGUUGUACUUGGGCCAUUGGAACCUAUUUGCUUGAUGUUGGAUGUCACAUGUUAUCUUGAUGCUGACGCUUGGAGCAAUGCUGAUUACACAAAAUCACUUUUAAUGAUCAUGCAUUUUUACUUGUGAUUAGGUUGAAAUGGAUAUUUUCUAAUCUGUUUCCAUUAUCUAACUGGAGCAUGAUAUGGUAUAUAUCUCACAUGUGUAUACCAUGUUCUGGGUUUUGCUAUUCUAAACUCCCAAAGGAUUAUGGACAUGGAUUGACUUGUGUCAUUUUCUGGAUGUCAAAAUAUCCAGAUUUUCAAAUAACAGGAAAUUAUUGAAAGUACUAAUACAGUGAGGCAAUUGACAAAUUCUUUUAGGCACAUACCUUGAUUUCUCCUAGGUCUGCUGUUUUCUUUGACCUUCAUUGAGGAGCCCUCCUCUCCAAGAAAUGUUAUUGUUAAUACUAAGUUAGUUCCUAAAAUUUAAGCUUGCAUGCUUUUCAUCAUAGUGUGUCUGUAAGGUACAUCUUGUUAAAGCCUUUUUAACAUAUGUAUUAGUUGCUUGCAUCUGAACAUAACUGUUCAUCUUAUAUUUUCUUUCUUUUUUCUGUAUGUUAUCCUAUUCAUAUCUGUAUUAUGUACAUCAAAUAUGGUUAUAUAUUGUUUCGGUUCCUUUUCUGGAUCUCAACAAUUUCAUGCCAAUAAUUUCUUCCAUAAAUGUUCCUUCGCCAUACUCGUUGCACCUAGAUUCACGUUUGGAUGGAAUUUCUAGGAGUAGUCAAUUGUGUCGGUUUAAAUUGGUUGGACUGUAUAAACUAUGGUGGCCUAUGCUUUGUUUAGCAUUUGGAUGCUGUUAGUGUCUACAAUUUGCUCUCUAUACUAAUAAUGUUUUUUCUUGCGUAGGACUUCACAGUGGAACAGGACACUGUUAACCCAAGCAACGGAUGGAAAGCUUACUAUGCUGCCACCAAAGCCAUUGUCAAUGUCAAUGCAGAAUUCUAUAAUAUAAUCAGAGAAAGGUCACUUCCAGCAAUGAGUAGAUUUUGGCUUAAUGCUGACUAUGUAAAAUGUAUACAUGCAUCUGGGGAGUUAUUCACAGGGUAUGCCAUUAACCUUAAUUUUGUUAAAUUUGUUAUUCUGGAAAAACUCAUGGCUAAAUCAGAAUAUGACACACUUGUCACUUUCUUGAAUAUUUUUACCUCUGGCAACUUUGAUUAUGUUUUCUUCUUUUCUGUUGAAGAUGCUAUAGUGAUCUUUUAUAUGUAACUGAAUUUUCCUUCUUUUUGUUCCAAAAUAAUAGCCACAUUGCUGCUUAGCCUGCUUUGCAACCUUUGUUACCAAGGUUUAGGUCAGAGAGCAGCCUUUCUGUUUACAUGGGUAAAGCGGCAUACAUUAAUUCUCCCCAAAUCUUGUAUUGAUGGGAGCCUCGUGCAUUUAUGCUUGUUUCAAGUUAAACUUAAUACUCAGCUUGAUCGCAGUAUGCUUGAACCUUGUAUCUUUAAUUCUGCUUACUUGGGGCUUUUGUGAUCUGACCACAGUAGCAGUUGUGCUGAGUAUUCCUAAGAUUUGCUACAGAUAAUGCACAACCAUGUUUAACAUCAUCUAGACUCUUACAUAUAGGUGAUUUAUAUGGCCUUUGUUUCCUAAUGAUUCAUAAGUGAAGAUAUUAUUUUGCAUUUUUUUGAAAUUUAGCAUCCACAUAUAUAAUUUAAAGCUAAGUGAUGCUGCCUUUUCAUGCAUCUGGUCCUUCUUAGGAUAUCUCGGUUAUAGAUUCUUGUGGUGGGAAUGUCUAGGACAAAUAUCUGUUAAAAAGUUAUUGUUUCCUAAUUUUAGGUGACAUUCAUUCCUUUCGUGGUAGAAGAAAUAUUCUUGAUGACAUUGAAUGAUGGCCCUGCCCAACAUCUGAGACUGAGUUUUAGACAUAUAGUGGACUAUAAUUGAAAGUUUGGAGUGCCAUCACAUUGUACCACUUUUGCUUAAACCCCCUUGUACCCACUCUGACAUGCAAUGUACUAUCGGCCUGCAUCUUUCAAAAAAUGGAUAAAUUUUUUCAUGCAUAACUACCUUGAUAUUUGUGAUGGUUCUAAUGUUUUACUCACUUAAUGAUGGCUUUUUGUCUUUUUUGUUCUAAUCAAAAUUUUGCAGUGUUAAAGAAUGUUGUUAAUUGCAUACCUUAAUGUGGCCAUUAGUAUAUUGGUAAAGGUUGUGGAACUUGUCUAUUUUUUGGAUUUUCCAUUAAUGGUGAUACACUGAGAUUUUGAUGAAUUUAGUUGUGAAUACCAGCAUGACAGAGAUCUUGCUUAUAAGAUUGUGGCAACUAAAGAUACUUGGUUGAAGGGCGGAGGCCCUUGUAGGACUGACAUUACUAAUGUUGUGCAUCUUUACUUUUUAAUUUGUGGUUCUCAGUAGUUCUGAUUGUUGGUUGUACUCUUUCUACUUCAAAUUAUACCUGAAUAUUCAUACUUUGUUGCUAAUUCAAAAUAGUGAAAAAUUUUAGUUCAUGUUAUCUUUCUUGUAAAAUCUUAGGUAGGAUCUCUUCUGUAUGUUUUUAUUUUCACAUUAACUAGCACUUAUCAUCUUAUUUAUUAUAAAGUACCAUUCAAUUCCUUGUUUAUUUUAGCAUUUAAUUUUUAAGGAUAUUUUUGUUAGUGUUGUCUAAAUCUGUUCAGGCUAUGUGCCUUUGAAGGGUUCUAUAAUUUUGUUUAAACACCAUCAAUUUUUUUAUAUUCUAGCAAUAAGUUGAUGAGGUCCCCUAAAAUAACUUUGAGCACUUCUGUUUUGUUGGGUCUUUAAUUAUAUGUAAUUUGGUUGUUCUAUAAAGGAAAAAAAACAA
RNAcentral lists this long non-coding RNA (64985 nucleotides) under Musa acuminata (dwarf banana). RNAcentral describes it as "long non-coding RNA (MACU_LNC004203)". The record is from RNAcentral. Lineage: Eukaryota; Viridiplantae; Streptophyta; Magnoliopsida; Zingiberales; Musaceae.